CCUGUGGUUAAAGCUUUUAUGUCUGUGCCCAUGAAACGAACAACUCAAAUCAUGGAAAAUCCGUAUACUACACCUCCACAAGAAGACAAAAUACUUUACAAGUGAUCGUGAACAAAAGACUUCGGAUAUUCGUUAGUUCAGCUAGUAAAAUCGCUUGAAGUAGGUGAAAAAACUAUGUUCUCAUGAGUGGAAGAGGAAUGAUGUAAUUAGAAAGAAUAUUUUAGCUUUGAAACAUCCUUUAACUACUUUUAUUUUUGUAUGAUCAAGAUUUGCUUCUUUAUUAUCUUUAGUUUUUAUUUGUUGACUACAAUUAUAAAGUUUCUAUAAGCUUAUAGAUAUGAGAUUAUAAUCCUGCUUGAGAUUGCGGUUGAAAUGUUAUCAGCAACUUGUUUAAUAAGUUUUGACAAAAACGAUAUUUGGUAUAUUUUUUAAAAGUUUUUUAUUUUAAAAAUUUCUCUAUUUUGACUACAAUUUUUAAAGACAAGUAGAGGGUUACUUUUUAUAAACAAUUUAUUAAAUAAGCCAUCACACAUUUUUAAAGUUCGUCUUAUAAUCUUAAUCUUUUAACAAAAUGGUAAUUAUAUCUUAUUUUUCAUAAAACCUGAUAUACAAAUAAAAGACUAUUUAAAGCUAUGUCUAUUUUGGUUAUUAUACAAUAAAUAUGUAUUUUUGUAAUAAAAUUUACCAAACUCAUCUAUAUACUCUAUUUUUCAAACUCACACAAAUUGCAACAACAUAAUUUAUCAAAUACUAAGUUGGUUUUUUAAUCAGCAACUGACAUCAUGUACACAGUAGAAGCAACCAAUUUCAUCAGCUAUUGCAAUCCUAAACUAGACCUUUAUCAGUAAGAAAGAGAAAUGAUAUAGAGUUCGAAUGAUGACUAAAAGGCAAUGGAAAUGGCUAACAUAAGGUGCCAUUUUUGUCUUACUUUCUUUUGAUUUUUUUUAUCAUUAAAAAAAUGUUAAUUAUGUACGUAUGUAUAUGUAAAAAAGAUGGUGUUGAAACAUUAAAAAUAGAUUAAUAGAAGAAACAAAGUUUCUGAAUAACAAUAGUUUUAUUAGCAAAGUCUGAAUGAACGAAACUAUGGUCUUGGGUCCCUUUAUAUAAUAAAUCUAAGUAUUGCAAAUUUAUCAAAAUAUGCAAAUUUAAAAUAUUACUUUAUAAUAAAUUUGUCCUAUUAUAAAUAAGGAAAUUAAAACAAAUAGAAUCCAAACUCGAUAUCUAAAAAAAAGAUAAAAAUUUUGAAAAUAAAAAGAAUAAUAGGAAAAUAUCUUAGAAGUGAAAAACGAUUAGAAAAGAAGCGGAAUUUUUGGCUUGACCAUGUGUCAUGCACUGCUUGUGCAAAGAGAAACAUGUGGCUUAUUGAGUAGAAAACAACCAGCUGCUUGCUUCGUAAUUUGACAUGCUUGCUUCAGCUGCAUGCUUUUUCACCUACUUGCUUGGAUUAGGUGGGCCGAUGGCUAUAUAUGUGAAGAAUAUUGUGAGUUGCUUCAUUCUAUCAAAUUAGAAAUUGAGAGCAAAAACAAAUAGAAGAAAAGAAACGAAAAGAAGAAAAGAAAGAAGCCAAGAGUGGGGAAAAGAGAAAAAGAAAGGAAAAGGAGAAAAAGAAAAUUAAGAAGUUGAGAGUGAAAAAGAAUUUGGAAAGGUGGAAUUGAGGGAAAUAUUACUGGAAAUAGAAUUAGACAGUUAGAUUUAUAUUAAGUGAGUCAGUGGAUAAUAAAUUUAUAAAAUUUAAGUAGACAUAAUUUAAUUUGCAUAAUAUGUAUAAGUUUUUAUAUCAGUUCUAACAGUUAAUUUUCGAAUCUUGUAUUUUAGGAAAAAUCCAAAAGUCGAGGAACCUACAAGAGCCCCAACGAACCCCGGAAUGAAACAAGAUCUGUGAGUGAAUACUAUUAUUGUUAUAAUGUAUCUGUGAAGCAUUUAUGUUUGAUAGUAUGAUUUAAUAUCAUGUUAUGAUUACAUGUAUGUAUAUUAUAUAUUUGAUUGAGUCAUGAGAUGUGAUUGUCAGUCACUAUAUGUGUACCCUUCCCUAUAGACUCUACGCAUGCGUAUUGAGAGUUAGGUUACUUUACCUGUGCAUUGUAGUUAAAUGUUGCCGGGUAUUGAGAGGUUUUUCCUCUACUCUACUCAUGUGAUGAUGAUCUCGGCAAGUAUUCAGAGUUAUUUCCCCUGGGUACUAUUUGGUACAGUUUUUUUCAUGUAUGUAUGAUUUCCAUGUUUGCUAAUGCAUUACAUUUAGUGCCGAGUUAUGUCACAUGAUUAUGUAUAUACGCUCGUAAGCUACUUUAUAUGUGUGUGUGUGUUCCAGUCCAAAACUUUAAAGUGUGAGAACAUCCGUGAAAAUGCAUAAACCGUGCGGUUUAAGCGCUUUAAGUUUUAAGCAUUUAAAACCCCAUGGUUUUAAAAUUUUUCGGGACGUUUUCCAUACUUUAUAAUCAUGGAUAUAUAAAAAUUAUAUCCAUUUAUUGAGCCACAAGCUCAUUACUUUUGUAUUAAUCCAUUCUCUUCUAUGAUUCCUCAAGAUUUCAUGUAGAUAAGUUCUAGUCAAUUGAGGUUGGGCCAUGAGAUGUAUUGCUACAUGACUUUGAGCACGUUUAUGUUGCUUAUGUUCUUAUAUAUAUAUUUGUAGUGUAAGUACGUAUAAUGAAACAUGAUUGUGCAAGUUUUGAAUAUAUAUUUUUGGAUGAGGCACAUAGGUUGUUAUGUGUUUAUAAUAGAGGUCGUUUUUAUAUAUUCAUAAAUUAAGUUAGUGCCACGAGUUUUAAUUAUUAGACCGCAUGAUUCGCCUCAGAUCCAACACACGGGAUACAGCAGGUCGUGUCCCCACGAGGCAAAACAGCUCAAAUGGCUCUGGAUUUGUUUCGUCUCAUCGCAAGCUUUGAAACAUGCGCUAAAAAUGGACACCUGUAGCACAAGUUAUGAUUUUAGGAAGGUACCAUGUUCUUUCCAUGCAACCAUCCUGCAUUAAAAACUUUUCCUAUGAGGGUUUGCUGUUGCACUAUAUAGUAGGGGUAAUAGUAUAAUGUUACACUAUUGCACUAUAGUGUGUGUGUGUGUGUGUGUGUGUGUGUGAUUAGUAUUAAAAAUUGUUUGAUUAUCAAGUGAUAAAAAUAUUAUUUUGUGGUUAUAUUAUAAUUUAUAUUUGUGUUUAUGCAAUAUAUUAGGAAUUAUUAAUUUUGUCUUAACUAUAUUUAAUUUUGUGUAUUUUUGUGUGUUUAUUAGGUAAAAUAUUAAAUUCGUGUAAUUCGAGGCUCCAAACAGAUAAAUGGAUGGUAAAUUUAGAUUUUGGAGGUCUGAAAACCUUAAGAUGAGUCAAAACCGACUUAAAAUUGAGCUUGCGCAAAAGAGUUGACUUUUUGUUGACCGAGCACUGAUUGGAUGAUAAAAUGAACUUACAAUAGAUAUGAGUGCAUUGGAUAGCUGGUAAUUUUGACUAAAUCUCAAUCGUUCAUAAUUCAAUGGCCAAGAUUGUGCCACAUAACAAUGGUUGGUGAAGCAAGUUGUAGGAUUUGAAUCUUUGUAUUCGGGUCGACCCGAUCCGCCCAUUAACCCGCCAAAUCUCAACCAUUCUUUGGUCGAAUCGGACGCGUCAAAUGAUGCCACGUGUAAUGUUGACUUUUGAAGUUUGACCAGCCGUUGGAUCAUGAUCUAAUGGCUGUAAGGAGCGCAUGCAUAAAGCUUAUGAUGGGCCGCAAAACACUAGAUUAUGAAUUUAUUUUUCUAUAAAUAGAGCCUCAUUUUUAUGUUUUUGAUCAUCUCUCUACAUUUUUCUUCUUCUCAAUUUCUCUCAAUCUCCCUAUAAUCUUGUUUUCCAGGUGUGUUUUUAAUAUUUUAAAUAAUAAUUUUAUAAAUAAAUUUAGUUUUGUUUUCAAUUUUAGUUGUUUUUAUUACUUUUAAUAAUUUUUUUUAUUUCGAUUAUGCUUAACUAAAUAACAAUAGUUAGGGUAAGGUGAAACUCUUAGAAAAUAAAUAUGAUUUAAUCAAAUGCUAUUUUUAAUUUUAUGAAUUAAAUUAUUUUCUAUUUAAUUUUAUACAUAUUUUAUAUUUUAAAAUUUUGAUUAUAGACAAAUAAGGGAGUUUGGCACAAUAAAUUCUAAAUAUCUUAAUAUAAGGUAUGGUAAAAUGGUAUUUUGACUUAUUGUAGACAAAUUAAAUUUUGGCACAAUAAAUAUUUAAUCCAUAAUAAAAUUAAUGGGAAAAUAAUAAUAAUUUAUAUAAUCAAUCUUUUGGGCAAUAAAUCUAAAAAAAAUGGCAAAAACAAUUUAUUAAAUUUUAUUUACUACUAAGAGUGGAUCCAUAACCCUAACUAAUUCAAUUUCAUAGUUUUACUUAAAUUAAGUUGCAUAAAUUCAAGUUUUAUUUUCAUUUUUCGAUCAAAUAAAAUAAACAAAUUAAAUCUUUUCUUUGUAAAUCGAUCUCGGACUCACUGAACUAUAAUAUAACAAGACACUCUUAUACUUAAGAGUUAGAACCUAUUUUUAAGUUUUGUCAAGUUUUUGGCGCCGUUGCCAGGGAAAAGUUUUCAUUUUGUUUUAUUUUUCUCUUUCUGUAAAUUUUUAUUUAUGCCCUUUUCCUUUUCUUAAAUUUUGUUUUGUCCACAAUAUCUUUCAGAAUCUUCACUUUCAUCCCACAUAGUUCUGUUCCAAACUUCUUAAAAUUGUUGUGUGACCAUAAAAUUUUAAAGAAUUAUGAAAAGAUCUCUGGACGAAAUUUCUCAUAAUAAUCAGACUUGAACUUACAUCUUGGACUUAUUUUGAGUUAUGGACAUAAUUUGGACCAAGCAAACGAACUAUUGACUCGUCAUUUUUUUUUAGUUACUUAAUUUUCAUAUUUAUUUUAAUUUAUUUUAUUUUACGAUUGGUUUGAGCCCCCUAUUGUUAUUUAAUUUUCAAUUAUUUUAUUAUUUCACAUGUUUUUGUUUUAUUUUAUUUUCUUAAUUUUUAUGGUGGGUUCAACCACCAAAAUUGUUAUUUAAUUUUAAUUUUAAUUUUUCAAUGUUUUAAUUUUUUGUACACUUAUAUUAUUUGCAUAUUUAAUUAUUAUUUUUUUGUGUAAUUUUCAUUUAAUUCUUUUGUUACUAAUUUGUUUGAAUAUUACCUUUGUGAUAUAAUUAUUGCAUGAGACGUUACUCUCGAACUUCAAGUGGCAGGUUAAUUCGUAGAUCUCAAUCUCCAGCACCAAUCAUCGAUGAGUUCCAAGAUGAAAACUUUUUGGGCGACCCUAAUCCUUAGAUUGAUCAGGGAGACAACCAUUAUCAACAUAAUGCAUGUGAUCAAAAUCAACCAAGAACUCUGAGAGACUAUAUGAAUCCAACGAGAGCCGGAGCACAGUCAUGUAUAGUAUUUCCUCCAGAAGCAUCUCGAUUCAAAUUCAAACUAGGUAUUAUUCAACUUUUAUCAAUAUUUUAUGAUUUAGAAUAUGAGAAUCUACACUUACACCUAAGAGAUUUUGAGGAAGUUUGUAAUACAUACACAGACCAAAAUUAUAGAAUGAACAUAAUUAGAUUAAAGUUUUUUCUUUUUUCAUUAAAAGAUAAAGUUAAAACUUGACUACAAAAUCUUAUAUCUGGAUCAAUAAGAACUUGGAAUAAUAUGCAAGAACAAUUUUUUUAAAAAAAAUCUUUCCACCUUAUAGAACCAAUUCUUUUAAAAGGCAAAUCACUUCUUUCACUAAAAAAAAAUGGAGAAAAAUUAUACUAAUAUUGAGAUAGGUUUAAAGAAUUGCUUAACAUAUGCCCACACCAUAGUUUUGUAACUUGGCGAUUGGUCACUUAUUUCUAUGAGGGCUUAACACCCCAAAGUAGACAAGUUGUUGAAAUGAUGUGUAAUGGUGAAUUUAAGGAUAAAAAUCCUGAAGAUGCACUAAAUUACCUUGACUAAUUAACUGAAAAUGCGAAACAUUGGGACACUGUUGAAACUUUUGAAUUGACAAAUAAACCACAACCAUCUCCAUCUAAUGGAGGAAUCCAUAAUCUUCGGAAAGAUCGUGAUUUAUAAGCAAAAUUUGCAUCCCUAGUUAGAAAAGUUGAAGCUUUGGAGUAUAAAAAAAGUGAUCAAGUAAAAUUUGUUCAAGAAAUUGUAUGCAAUAUUUGUAGUUCUAAUGAUCAUUUCACUCAAGAUUAUCCCACUCUACUUGCACUUAAAGAAUGUCUACAUGAUCAAGCUAAUGCCAUUAACACUUUUAAUAAGCCAAACCAUAUUCACAGACUUAUAAUUCUGGUUGGAUAAAUCAUCCAAAUUUCAGUUAGAGGAAUGAUAAUAAUGCACAAUCUUCAAAAGCACCACCUCCACAAACUUUUCAAAAUGUUCAGCCUUAUGCACCAUAUAUUCCACCGCCAUGGAAAAAUCUGGAAGACACAAUGCAUUCAUUCAUCAGAAAGGAAAAUGUUAUUAACAAUCAAAAUGUACAAACUUUUUCUGAUUUGAAAGAUACUCUUGCUAAAAUUGCUUUUGCACUCAUAAUUCAAGAAAAAAGAAAAUUUCCAGCCCAACCACAACCAAAUCCUAAAAUUCAAUAAAAUCCACCCAUGGACCAAGUCAAGUCAAUUAUAACUCUUAGUAGUAGUAAGGUUGUUGAUAAACCUAUGCCUGAACCUUGUGAAAAUGAUGAAAAUUCAAAGGGUAAGGAAAAACUAAAUGAACUUACACCUAGUGAAGAAAUAACUAGUGUUCCACCUGAACCACCAUUUUCGCAUGCAUUGAAUAAUCCAAGGAAAUCAAACCACUCUUUCUGAAAUUUAUGAAAUUUUUAAGCAAGUGAAAGUUAGCAUUCUUAUAUUAGAUGCAAUCAAGCAGGUACAUUCAUACGCCAAAUUUUUAAAGGAUUUGUGCACUGUCAAGAGGAAAUUGAAGGUAAGAAAGAGUGCUUUCAUGGCCGAACAGGUAAGAACAAUUAUCUCUACUAAUAAUAAGUUGAAAUAUAAAGAUCUUGGUUGUCCUACCAUUUCUUGUAUUAUUAGUGAUCACAUAAUUGAGCAUGCUUUACUAGAUCUUGGUGCUAGUGUUAAUUUGCUUCCACAUUCAGUUUAUCUUCAACUUAAUCUCGGUGAGUUAAAAUCAACUUCAACUACACUUUUGCUUGCCGAUAGAUCAGUUAAAGUACCAAAAGGAAUAGUGGAAGACGUUUUAGUACAAGUUGAUAAAUUCCUAUACCUUGUGAAUUUUAUUAUCUUAGAAACAGAAUCAGUUGUGAAUGAUUAUAAACCAAUUCCUGUAAUUUUAGGUCGACCCUUUUUUAGCAACUGUUAAUGCUUUAGUUUAAUGAAUUUAUCCUUUGGAAAUAUGACUUUGGAAUUGAAUGUUUUCAACAUGUGCAGGCAACCUAAUAAAGAAAAUGAGAAUGAAGAUGAUACUAAUGAACAAAAGGAAUUGCUUGAAUCUUGUAUAGAGGAAAAUAUUCAAAAAACAGAUUUUACUGAACUCUCUGACAUUUGUUUAAUUAAUUCAAUUGAGUCAAAUAAGCAAUUUGAACUUAAUAUUUCUAAUAUAAAUUCGUUGCUUGAUUCUGUACAGAAUUAUGAUGAAGAGCCAAAAUUUGAAGAGCUUGGAAGUAUUGAAAAGACAGAACAACCAGAAGCACCCAAACUGGAAUUGAAACCUUUGCUUGAAUGAUUGAAAUAUGCUUUUCUUGUAGAAGAACAAACUUAUCCUAUUGUGAUUUCUUCUACUCUAACAAGCGACCAAGAAGGUAAGUUACUAACUGUUAUUAAAAAGCAUAAAAAUGCAAUUGGAUGGACUUUAAAUGAUAUUAAAGGCAUUAAUCCCUUAAUUUGCACGCAUAGAAUUAAUUUAGAAGAAAAUGCUAAAACAGGUCAACAACCUUAAAGAAGAUUAAACUCACACAUGAAAGAGGUAGUUAAAACAGAAGUUCUUAAAUUGCUUGAUGUGGGAAUUAUCUACCCUAUUUUUGAUAGUAAGUGGGUUAGUCCUACACAAGUAGUGCCCAAAAAAUAUGGAAUCACUGUUGUUAAAAAUGAAAAAAAGGUGAAUUAAUUCCAACACGAAUUACAUCUAGUUGGCGCAUGUGCAUUGAUUAUAGAAAGUUAAAUGAAUCCACUAGAAAAGAUCAUUUUUCAUUAGCAUUUCUUGACCAAAUCUUAGAAAGAGUAGUUGGACAUCCCUACUACUACUUUUUAGAUAGAUAUUCGGGUUAUUAUCAAAUUCCUAUAACACUUGAGGACCAAGAAAAGACCACAUUUACAUGCCCUUUUGGAACAUUUUCAUUUAAAAAAAUGUCAUUUGAGCUUUGUAAUGCUCCUGCAAUAUUUUAAAAAUGUAUGCUAAGCAUUUUCUGUGAUAUGGUUGAACAUUAUUUAGAGGUCUUUAUGGAUUAUUUGACUGUGUUUGGGAAUCCUUUUAAUGAUUGCCUUGAUAAUUUGGAGAAAGUCUUAAAAAGAUGUGUUGAAAAAGAACUUAUGUUGAAUUGGAAAAAAUGUCACUACAUGGUUACUUCUGGAAUUGUUUUAGGUCAUGUUGUAUCUGUUAAAGGAAUUGAAGUUGACAAAGUAAAAAUAGAAGUCAUAUCGAAAUUGUCGCAACAAAAAAUAGUUAGAGAUGUGCGAUCCUUUUUAGGACAUGCAGGAUUUAAUAGGAGAUUUAUAAAAAAACUUUAGUGUCAUAUUUAAACCAUUUUGUAACCUCUUCUUAAAAGAUGCACAGUUUGAAUGGACUGAUGAUUGCCAAAAAUCUUUUGAGAAAAUAAUUUGUCUUUUAAUAUCUGCAUCUAUUAUGCAAUCUCCUGAUUGGUCUUUACCUUUUGAAUUAACAUGUGAUGCAAGUGAUUUUGUUGUUGGUGCUGUUUUAGGACAAAUAAGGGAUGGUAAGCCCUUUGGGAUUUAUUACGCGAGUAAGACUUUGGAUAGUGCUCAAAUGAAUUAUUCUAUAACUGAAAAAGAAUUACUUCUUGUGGUAUUUGUAUUAAACAAAUUUCGUUCAUAUUUGCUUGGCUCUAAAUCUGUUGUUUUUACUUACCACGUUACUGUGGGAUAUUUAAUGAGUAAACAGGAUGCCAAACUGAGAUUAAUUCGUUGGAUUUUGUUACUUCAAGAAUUUGACCUUACCAUUAAAGAUAAAAAGGGUGUUGAAAUGUCGUUGCUGAUCAUUUAUUAAGACUCACAUUUGACUUCUGCACUGAUAUAACACCCAUAAAUGAUUCUUUCCCUGAAGAAUUUUUAUUUUCUGUUACUUCAAUCCCAUGGUAUGCUAACAUUGUUAAUUUUCUUGUUAUCGGUAAAAUGCCUUUGCAAUGGAAUGCUCGAGAGAAGAAGAACUUUUUAGUUGAAGUAAAGAAAUUUUAUUGGGAUGAUCCUUACUUGUUCAAAUAUUGCCCAUACCAAAAUUUUCGGCGAAGUAUUCCUGAUAAUGAGGUAAGUGUUAACAUAUAUAUUUCCAUGAUGUUGAUUUUGAUAAUAACAAACAAGAUUAAGAAUGAUUAAUUUUUUAAGCUCAAAUUGUAAGGGGAACUUACAUUUAGGGGGGAGCAAUUUAUGCAAUCAUUAUUUAAAUACAUGAAAAGUUUGUCAUCAUCAAAAAGGGGGAGAUUGUUAACAUUUAUGUAUUCAUAAUGUUGAUUUUGAUGAUAACAAACAAAAUUAAGAAUGAUUAAGUUUUUAAAAGCUCAAAUUGUUUUUAUACAUUUUAAAUAAAUCAUUAUUUUCACAUUUUAAAGGUUUUAUAUUUAAUGGAAAAAUGAUUUUAUGAAAUUAGUUGUUUUUCAAGUUUAUGGUUUAAUUGAAACAGUUUUGAAAACUUUGAAAUUAACAAGUAUUGCUUGAAAUUUUGGAGAAGGAUUUAUUUGAAAAGUAUUCAUACCAUUUUAGGUUAUUUCAUAAUUUCAAAAAGUUUUGGGAAUAGUAAGUAUUAUUUAGAAAUUCUAAAAUUGGACCUAUUUACAAAAUUUAUAACAUUUUGGGCCAUUGUACAGUUAUAUAAAGUUUUGGGGUCAAACUGUUAUUUUACAAAAUAGUUCACUGUAGCAGUUACUAUAGAAAACGGCGAUCCGACAUCUUGAUAACGGCUCAGCGACAUCGAACAGAUUUGAAGAUUAGCCUCUAGACACUAACGGUGAUCCGACAUCUAUAAAACGGCGAUCCGACAAUUUGAAAAUUCAGCCCAACGGUCAUAUUGACCAGUUAUGUAACACCCUAGGCGAAUCCCACAUCGGCAAAGCACGGGAGAGAUGCUGGGUUUAUAAGGGGUGAUCCACACCUUAAUUGGCAAGACGCGUUUUGGGGUGUAUGGGCGCCCCAAGAACAAAUCCGUGCGGGCCUUGUUAAGGCCCAAAGCGGACAAUAUCUUGCCAGGUCUGGGUUGGGUCAUGACAUUAUGGUAUCAGAGCAGCUCCGCAUGUCCUCUUGAGCGAUGGUGGGGCAAACCUCAGCGAGGACGCUGAGUCCCCAAGGGGGGGUGUAUGUAACACCCUAGGCGAAUCCCACAUCGGCAAAGCACGGGAGAGAUGCUGGAUUUAUAAGGGGUGAUCCACACCUUAAUUGGCAAGACGCGUUUUGGGGUGUAUGGGCGCCCCAAGAACAAAUCUGUGCGGGCCUUGUUAAGGCCCAAAACGGACAAUAUCUUGCCAGGUCUGGGUUGGGUCAUGACAUUAUGUAACGCCACAAAUUCUCAUAUAUAUUAAGUUAUAGAAAUUGAGCUUUCAUUGAGAAUUAUGGGUGGCCCAUAACCCUUAUUAAGAGGUUAUUUAUGAGAUAAUUUUGGGAAAAUGGUUAUUUUCCUAAUUAAAUAGGGUUUCUUAAGACUCCCUAUAAAUUCAUACUUUUUCCUUUCCAUAACCCUAAGUUCACAACGUUUAUUCUUCUUCUCUGCUGCUCUUUACGCUCUUACCCAAAUCUUAGGAUUCAAACAUUUGUUUAGGAGAGAAUCAAGCGACGGGUAAGUUGUUCUCCAUGUUCUCAACAGAUUUCUAAUCACUCUAUCUAACUAGGGUUUAUAUUGGCACGAUUCUAAUGGUUGUAGAUCAUGAUGCAUGGUUUAGAAUAUAUUUAGACUUUGCUUAGGGUUUUGAUUUAGUAUGAGUUUAGUUAAUCAAUCCUUGACGUAUUAAGCACAGGAUAAUUCUGGACAGCAUGAGGAUCUCGAAUUUUAAAGCUAUAUUUUCUGAACGAAUUUUCUUAUAAAAUUUAUAUUUCUGGAAACUAGACAUGUCGGGAUUCUUGAUUAAAUUUUAUUUCAUUAAAUUCAACUUCGUUUUCAAUUUUAUAUGUAUUUUGGAAAUAGAAACCACUGCACUGGAAAUCCACGAUUCCAGUAUUGUGAUCAGAUUCACAAGACUAUUUAUACCACCAAAUGAACUCAAAAAAUUCUGAAAGUUUAUAUGUAUGUUAAUAUAUGUGUCUAGGAUUCCCAGUUUUAAUUUCAUAAUUUUCUGAUUAGUAGUUUAUUUUAUAAAAAUCACGGAACCCGUUCUGUUUGGUUUAGAUUAUGUGAAAACAGUUUCGAAUUUGAUGAGAAGUAAAUAGUUUUUAAAAUGUUUUUGAUAUCGGAUUAUCUUGUAAAUUUUACAUGGGGUACUCAUGAAUGUUCAGAAUGGUUCCAUAGGAUUUUAUAUCAUUCUGAGACUUGGAUUAAGAGUUAAAAUUCCGAGAAUCAGACCUGUACGGGUAUGAAUUAGAAAAUCAAAUUCUUAGAAUAAGUUAUUGAUUGUCAUAUCUUGUAUUUGUUUAAGGUUUUGAAGGUGUUUGAGACUCUUAGAAGCUUAGAGGUGUGUUAAUCCAAGUUCAUUUGUCGAGGUAAGUAACUUCAUUCCUAAUGUACUGGAUAUGUAUAAGUAUUUUGAUAUUAUUAUUAUAAGUAUAAAUGUUUUGAUACUACUUAAAGGAUUACUAAUUUUGAUAACAAAAUUAGCUUUAUGUACAUGUUUUCAAACCAUUCUUUUUAACAAAGUAUUUUAUAAAUGCUUUUUAAUAUGUAAAUGAUUUUAUGACAUGACAACCUUUUAUGAUGUUAUCUUUAAAAUGUUAUGCAAGCCUAUAUUAUUGAUAAGAACUUUUAUGAAACUGAUACGAAUGUUUUGUACCUAUGUUUGAUUUCAAUUAUUGAUGAUUGUAUGAGAUUCUUAAUGCUUUGGCUCAUUGUCCAUAGUUAGUCUGAUUCUGAUUCUGAUCGUAAUAUACGAUAUAUCCGUCUGGACCAGUACUGGGUUUCUGUUAUGAAUGUGCACACGAUAUUCUGAUUCUGUUUCUGGCCGGGUCACCGGGACUAUAGGUGACACUAUGUGACAUGAGCUAACCUGUUUGUUUUCUGUAUACGUAUUACAUGAUUUGCUUCGUAAGUAAAUAUGCUUUUGAAUAUUCUGAAUUAUUAAGAAUUUAUCUUAUGUUAUUGUGAUAUAUCGUUUUAUGAAAAUUAUGGAUUAUGAUAUAUGCUUUAAACAAAAGAAGGCUUGCAAUAUUUUUGGUAUCGAUAGGCCUAGUGUGUUAGGAAUGGUUUUACUUACCGAGUUGACGGCUCACCCCUCGUCAUUACUUUUUUGCAGAUUAAGUUUCUUUUGAGAGGUGCACUUAGCUUUGGAGUUAGUGAUUUCCAGUUUCCGUUUGCUAUUGAAUAAGAGGAGGAAUAGACUUGUGUUUCUAUUUAGUUACUUUUAUUAUGAACGUGUAAUUUGGAGUUUGAGACUUUUGUUAUUAUUUUUAUAUGUCCUCGAGAGAGAUUAUUUAGUAUUUGACGUUUGGAUUUAUGGAUUUAUUUGAAUAAGAAUUGGAGGAAUUUCAGUUUGAAACUUAUGAGUAAAGAUUAAUGAUUUGUGAGUAACCUCCUUCUUCACGUGCUCCGCACGUGUUAGAUUUGGGGUGUUACAAUUGUGGUAUCAGAGCGAUUGACCAUCCUUAAGAUUAACAAUUAUGCCGAUUUGAUUUGGGCCUUAACAAGGGGGGUGUAUGUAACACCCUAGGCGAAUCCCACAUCGGCAAAGCACGGGAGAGAUGCUGGGUUUAUAAGGGGUGAUCCACACCUUAAUCUCUCCCGUGCUUUGCUGAUGUGGGAUUCGCCUAGGGUGUUACAUACACCCCCCCUUGGGGACUCAGCGUCCUCGCUGAGGUUUGCCCCACCAUCGCUCAAGAGGACACGCGGAGCUGCUCUGAUACCAUAAUGUCAUGACCCAACCCAGACCUGGCAAAAGGUCAAUAACGGCUAGUUUUCAGCUCCAACUAUCAAUAAGCUCAUUCAAAUCCAAACAUGUACUAUUCCAACAAUUAUCAUUGAGCACAAUAUUGAGAAUACAACUUUCAUUGCGCUUUAAAUCUUUGUAUUCAUCUCAGUCAUUCACACAUUGAGCUUUCAUUAGUGAUCAAACAUAUUGUGUGAGAGAAAUUCAUUUAUAAUCUUUUUUGUAAAAUCAAGUUAAGAGAUUGUAGGUGUUGGGAUACACUUGGGUUAAGAGAUUGGGGAUAAUCUCUUGUUGUGAAGGUUCAUUGACACCUUGGAAGUCAAUUAUAAUCAUUCGAAGCCUUGGAGGCUUGCUUAGUGAAAUCCUCAAGCUCAGGGAGCUUGGAGGCGUGGACGUAGGUAAGGAUUGCCGAACCAUAUAAAAAUCAUUGUGUUUGCUCUCUCUUCCCUUAUCUUUUUAUAUUGUGAUUGAUUUAUUUGUUAUUACUUUAAAUUCGUUUUAGAUUUGCAUUGAGUUUUGCUUUAAAAUUGAAUAAUUUUUAAAAACCCAAUUCACCCCCCUCUUGGGUUGCAUAACUAGAAUUUCAGUAAGUAGUGUCAUUAAUUUUUGUUAUUUUGAAGCAUGUGGUGGACACUUUUCUUCAAGAAAAACUACUGCUAAAAUUUUGCAAUGUGGAUUUUAUUGGCCUACCAUAUUCAAAGACACAUAUGAAUUUUGUAAAACUUGUGAAAAAUGUCAAAAAUUGGGAUCAAUUACUAAAAGAAACAUGAUGCCGUUAAAUUUCAUACUUGAGAUUGAAAUAUUUGACUGUUGGGGAAUUGACAUUAUAUGUCAUGAGUGCCUCAAUAAGAAAGUUCCUGGUCACACAUCUUAAAAGCCUUUUGCGUGUGAAAUCUCACUUGAGAGGCCUGAUACAAAGCGGCAAAUCAAAUCCACUUUGGGAUCUAAAACCACCAAUAUUAGUGUCCUACGUUGAGGACCUAGAAAGACAACUCAGAGCAAUAAAGAGUGGUAUAUAUGAAUUUCAAUUGGAGCUUGAGGUUAACUCAAUAAAAGGACGAAUGUAAGUUCAUUUUUCUCUUUUCUUGUGUCAUUUGUUUUUGUUGUUUUGUUCACUUUCGCAUUUGAUUUGAUUUUGUAGUUUUGAUUCUUUUUAUUUUUGUGUGUUUUGAUUUAUUUUCCCGUAUAAAUGGCGGAUAACGUUACUCUGUCACUUCUUAAGUCAGGAUCUUCAGUUUCCCACAAUAACUGAAACCCCAAAAUCAAACAUGGAAGAAAUAUAACAUAAACUGCAUAAGCAUUUUUCCUUUCUCCUUCAGAAUGCCCUAAGGAAAAUUUAUAAAGCUCGUUGUGAAUGACUGCAUUUGUUAAUGAUCAAAGGCAUUCCUUCUAACAUUCGUUGGUUAAUUGAAGUAAAGGUCCGAUUAGCAGGUGAGUUUUCUGAUCCAUUUGUUUAUUUCAUUCCUGGUUUUGGUAAAAGUACAUUUGCUUAAAAAAGAAGAGCUAAACAACUUGGCUCAAAAUGUCAUAAUUGUGUAAGAUUUCGUUGCAAAUGGAGGAAUUGUAAAUCUUUAGGAAUGGGGUCUGAUAAUCAUGAAGAUAAAAUUAAAUUCGUUAAAGAUGGCCUGAGUAAAGAAUCGUUGGAUGAUAUCUUCGAUCUCUUGAGACGCAUCAAAGUGGAUAUGUGCAAUGUAAGAUUCAUAAUUUGUGGAUACUAUUCUAAAAAUAAAGUGCACAAUUUAGUCUUAGGAAUCUGACUCAAAAGGACCAUGUUUGCCAGUUUAUAAGAAAACUGGAUGGUAAGCAUAUCCUCAACCCAUAGAGGGCGUUCAAGUCGUUACUGGACGUAAAACGAGAGGAAGAUGUGAGCCAUAAUCACAACUACCAGUAAAUAUCCUUUUCUUUUGCUGUUUUUUUUAUCAUUUGCAUUAUUGCAUUUAGUGGUGUGAUUUUGUAUUUAAUAAUUAUUUGUUUUCUUUUACUGUUUGCUUUUUCUAAUCACUAUUUUCUUUUUCUUUUUACUGUUUGCUUUUGAAUUAUUGAGUUAUGAGCUUGAAAUGCAAGUUAUGCAACCUAAGAGGGGGGUAAAUUGGGAUUUUAAAACUUAUACAAAACAAUUCAUACAACAAUUUAAUCUAUUUUCUUAAUCAAAUAAAAAAUAAUAAAUUAAAUAAAGCACAAUAAUAAAAGAGUAAGGGAAGAGAGAGCAAACACAAUAAUUUUUACGUGGUUUGGCAAUCCCCACCUAUGUCCACGCCUCCAAGCCAACCAAGCUCAAGGAUUUUACUAUCCAAGCCUCCCAAGGCUUCAAGUUCUUUACAAUUGACUUCCAAUAUGUUAAUAAACCUUUACAACCAAGAUAUUAUCUCUGAAUCUCUUCACUCAAGUGUUUCUCACACUUAUACACUCACAAAUUUGAUGAGAAAAUAAAGAUUACAACAAAGAAACUCUUUUUAAGAGUGGAUAUACAAAUUAUAGCACAAUGAUAAUUCAAUAUAUGAAGAUUUGUGAAAUGGAAGCUCAAUAUAUGUUAUAUACACUUGUUUAUACUUGCAAAAGUCUUAAAAUUGAUGUUGGAGUUGAGUUUUUAUAGAUAAAACCUGAAAACUAGCCGUUAUAGGCAAAUUCGAGCAAGCAAGCAGUUAGCCGCUUAAUUUAUCUCGCUCCCUGCUUUAGAAUAGUAAAGUUACCGUUAAAUUUGAAUAUUGCUACAGUAAUACUGUUAAUAAAAUUACUAUUUUUCUCAAAACUUUCUAUAAUUAUACAAUGGCCCAAAACGUAUAAAACUUUACAAAAAAGUAUAAUUUCAGAAUUUUUAAAUAAUACUAGUUAUUCCCAAAGCUUUCUAAAAUUGUGAUAUGGCCCAAUACAUGAUAAUUUUUUAAAAAUAGUCAUUUUCAAAAUUUAACAAAAUACUUAUAAAUUUCAAAGUUUUCAAAACGUUUUCAAUUUAGUCCAAAAUUUGAAAAUGUGAAGUUUUCCACAUGCGGCUAGCCGCUAGCCCUUAGGAGGUUAGCCGCUAACUCUCUAUCCACUUACGAUAUUUGCACUCAGGCCCUCAAACUUUUAUAAAUUAUAGUAUGGCCUAAAAUAUUUCAAAAGUUUGCAAAUAAGUCGAAUUUCGAAAUUCAAAACAAUACUUAUUAAAAUCAAAUAUUGCAAAACUUUUUCAUUUUAGUUCACAUCUUGAAGAAUAACUAACUUCAUAAAAUUCUUAGCUUAUACUUGUAAAACUUUUGAUUUAUGAAAAAAUAAUGAUUUAUUAAACAAAAUCUUGAACUUCUCAAAUGCUAAACCAUUUAUAUAUUAAAUCAUCCCGGUUUUACAAAAAUUGUCGCAAUAGUGAGUCUGUUGAGCUCUAAACUUUAUUCUUGAUUGCGCCGUUGUCCGUUAAGUGUCUUGAACUUGAUUUCACGCGAUUCACUUCAUCAUAAAUAUUUUCCUUCAAGAACUAGUGAAAUGUGAAUACAAUAUUUUUCAAAUCAUUUAAGACAUAUGUUUGUUAUCAUCAAAAUUAUAUGAUGUAUAGCCCUUUAGGCUAAUUGAGCUUUACGUGUCAUUUGACAAAUAUGCCAACCCAUUUACAACUGUUUCUCAUUAUUUCAGUCACCAAGAUCUUUAAAUAUGAGCUCGUUUUUCAAACACUCACAACUUUUUGAAAGAUUAUUCCAAUGGUAACAUCUUCGAGUAAACAAUAUAAAAACAUUUGGGAGCUUUCUGGGUUUCACUAUGGAAAGUACAAGGAGUUCGUUCAGACAGUUGUAGAUCUUGGUCAUGUUAUAGCAGAGAGGAACCUACACUUUGCAUAUGGAGGAGGUGAACGAGGGUUAUCAAGGCUUGUCUCAGAAGUUGUUUUUACUAGUGAAAGCUAAGUACUAGGCGUUAUUCCAAAAGCCAUUAAACCUCUAGGAUGCCUGUCUGGCCCACCAAUUAGAGUAGAAUUAGUGGUAUCAAGUAUGGAAGAGAAAAUAUCUAAAAUGUUAAAUCAUGCUGAUAUUUUUAUUCUCUUACUAGGAGAUCUUGCAACUCUUGAGGCACUGAUUACAUUUGCAUCUUGGGCACAUUUGAACAUUCAUAAAAAACCCAUCGACUUGUUAAAUAUUAAUAAUUUUAUGAUGGCUUGCUAACUUUUAUUAACCAUGCAAUUAGGAAUCAUUUUGUUCCACACUCUGUAUAAAACUAUUGAUUUGUGCUUCUUCUGCGAAUGAGUUACUUGAUCUUUUACUAGCUUAUACACCAGAGCCAGAUCCCAAGACUUACGCGCUGGAUUGGUCGACUCAUAAUGGUAGCAGUAGCAGUAGUAAGAAGUGCAAAUUAGAUUUAACUCUACGUUUGUAAAUAUUUUCUGUUGCAGUGUUCAUGUGAUGUCUUUUAAACUUUUCCUCUUUCCUUUUAAAACAUUGAGGACAAUGCCUCGUUCAGGUUGAGGAGAGGGAUUAAUUGAUAAUUGUGGAAUGUCUUAGUCCUGGUGAUGUUUUUACAAGGUUUUACUGUAAAGACUAACUUUGGACUAAAUUUGAGUUGAAGAUGGAUGGAUAUGGAGAUUGCAGUACCUCUAGAAACGCAUCUUCUUAAUCUUAGAGUUUUAUUAAAAAAGAUGUAACAUUUGCUUGUUUUUUGUCAUCUUCUUUUAAGCUUCUGUAUUGAGUUCAGGUGAGAUCUCCCCUUCUUCUUCUGUUGUUAUAUAUAUAUAUGUGUAUAUAUAUAUAUAUAUAUAUUGUAUGCAUAUAUGUAAAACUCUAAAAUGUUGAGAUAAUGUUUAGAUUAGGUUGGGGUGGGGGAUAAUUGACGUGUGUUUUUAAAUAUGUGUGUUUGUUUUUCCCUUUUUCUUUAAAAAAAAAACCAAUUUUUUUUGUCUAGGAUGGUUGUGUAAAGAGUUACGACUUUUGAGACGCAUCCUAAUAGUUAUGUUGUGUUAUAUUUUGAUUUUGAAAUUCAUAGUAAGUUGUUUUUUUUUUCAUUUUCUUUGAAUUACUCAAAUUUUUGAACUCUCCAAUUGGUUACUAAGUCAUUUAAUUGUUUAUCAUUUAACAAGUAUUGUUGAAUCAUUCUUCACACACACACUAUGACAUAUACUAGUGGGUUGUAAGUUCAAAUUUUUAUAGCAUUUAGUUCUUUUGAUUUAUUAGGAAUAAUAUCUAAGGUAGUAGAAAAUGUAUAUUGCCAAAAAUAAUUUUGAAUGUGUUUAAUUUUGCUAUAUCUAAAACGCGAGUAAUUAAGUUCGUAGGGUGUUUCAACAUCUAGUGCCCUAAGACCAACUGGUCUGGGAGUCACUGGCCUAAAGCUCGCUAUAUGAGUUAUAGAUAUAUUGUUUGCUUAUUUAUUAGAAACUCGAGUAAUUAAGUCCGUAAGGGUGUUUCAACACCUAUUGCCCUAAGGCCAACUGGUUUAGGAGUCACUGGCCUAAAGCUCGCUACAUAGGUUAAAAAUUUAAUGUUUUAAAAUUUAUGUGAAUAAUCUACUGCCUAAAGAUAGAAUUUCUAAUGAAUUUUGGAACGAAAAUGUUGUUUUUCUUUUAAUGAAACGCCAUAAAUAUUGUGUUAAUUACUUGAUUAUAAAAAAAAGUUCGAUGAUAUUCUGGAUAAUGUGCACAAAAGAAGGUUUGUUGCUCUGCAAGCAUUUUAGUUUUCUUUGUCCCAGUUGUUCUUCUGUUGGUUUUUGCGCUGUUGAUUUAGAAAAUUUUAAAAGACUUUUUGUCCUCUCAUUUAGAUGUAAUUUUCUUUUUCUUUUUCUAAUCUUUAUAAUCAAUAAAGCGACCCCUCGUUCUGCUGAGGUUUGCCAAGAAGAAAGAAAGUGACAACCGGGCUGGAGCUCCGGUGUAUGUUUUAGUGAACUUGUUUGAUCCCGGUAGUACAAGAUAAAAUCGAUGAAAUUAAAAUGAAUAUACUCACAUAGUUAUCGGAAGACAAAUUACUUAAGAGUGUAGCUAAGUUACAUUAUAUGUUAACUACACAAAAUAUGUACUUAAUGUAAUUCAAAACAUGUUAACAAUUUAACAAUAAUUAAAUUUUUGGGAGCCACUCUUGGGUUGAUGUAAGUUAUAUAUAAUGUAACUUAACUUGACUCUUUAUAAGUACUAUGUCAUUACCUAAUUAUAGUGCUAUACACUCCUUAUUUAAUGCUUUCUUGAAAAAAUUGCAGAAACAAUAUAAAGAAGAUAAAUUUCAAUAUAUUAUUAAUUUAUGAGCACAAAGACUUAAUUUAUAUAAGUAUUUGAAAGAUGAAAAAAGAAAUAAUACAACUAACAUAAUUUGAAAAUAAUAUUGAUUAACAAAGAUUUAGUCAAUCAAAUUUUAUGUUGAUUUGUAAUCAAUCUUUUUUAAUCAGUAAUUAAGAUGGAGACAAUCAAUUAUUUAAUUGAAUUUUUUUUUGUUUUCAUCAAUAUUGUUUGAUUCUUAUCAUCCCCAACUUGCCUUAAAAAAUUGCAAAUCGUUGAUUUUUAUUUCUAGUCUCAUCCAAUUGUCACGUAACAAAUUAGGAAGCAUUCCUUUGAAGCUUGUCUAGAAAAUUUUUAAAUUGUUUUCAUGUAUUUUUUUUUAAGAUCGUGAAAAAUCACAAGUAAUUCAAUUUCAUUGAUCAAGGAAUUCUUUUAACAUGAAAACCAAAACUUUGAUCGUUUUAAAGAAAAUCUUCACUCAAGAAUUUUAUCUUCAUUCUUUUGAUUUUGUCAUAGAAUUCUUUCAUUUAGAAAGCCAUUCCAUUGAUCUUGUCAAGGAAACUAUCGAUUUUGAGUUUUUUUUUUCAUUCCCUUUUUCUUUUGACGUCAUAUCCUUUAUGAUGGUGUUAAGGUUAGUUAAUGGUGGGUCAAACAGCUUUUUUUUUUCCUGAAGAAAUUGAAGAACAAUUAAAAGGCAACUCACAUCUCACACUUUUAGACCACCAUGCUCUCGAAACCUGUCAUUUACAUGGUGGCUAAGCCUAAACUCACCAAUUUAGGGACUCUCAAACCAUGCUAUGAUACUAUGAAAACUUUUUAGCAACAAUAUAAAGAAGGUAAGUUUCACUCUUAUUGAUUCACGGGCACAAAAAUUAAAUCUAUACAAGUAUUUGAAACAUGAAAAAGAAAUGAUAUAAUUAACAUAAUUUUGAAAUAAUGAUUGAUUAAAAUAAUUUAGUUAAUGAGUUUUGAGUAGUGCUACACAUCUCAAAUUAUUUAUCUCCAAAAAACUAUUCCAAAUGAUAUUGCAUUCAUUAAUUGAUCAAUGAGGAUAAUACAAUUUAUUCACUUAGAUAAUGUAAAGAGAUGCCAACCAAUCAAUGAAUGUUAUAUCAUUUUGGACGGAAUUUGGAAUAAAAAAUUUAGGAUGUCUAUCAUUACUCAUUAGUAUUUAUGUUGAUUUACUAUUAAUCUUUCUUAAUUAGUAAUUAAGAUUGAAAUAAUCGAUCAUGUAAUUGACUGCUUUGUUGCCAUCAAUAUUAUUUAAUUCUUAUUUUAUUUUUUACUUAAUAAAAUCUCUUUUCUUAAAGAUUAGUUGUUAUAAGAUGAUAAUCGAACAAAAUUGGUCAAGAUAUAUGAUUUCCCUAUAAUAUUUUAUGUAUUUUUACAUCAUUAAUAGUGAGUUUAUUAUAAAUCAUAGAUUUAAAUCUUUUAAUUUUAAUCAUUCAUUCAAUAUAAUGGAUAAAUAAUUAAUUAACUAAAAGAUAUCAUGUAAUUUAUAGGUUGCUAGUAAAUUUCUUAUCCUUCCAGCUACAAUUAAUUUUUAAUGAAAUUAAAGCAUUUCUUUAUGAAUGGAUGAGACAGUAUCAAACAAUUUCUUGAGCUCUAGAUCCAGCGCCUAGUACAAUUGAUGAAACAAUAAAUCAAUAUCAAUCGUAUAGCUUAAAUCAAUACCAAAAUGCAAUGGAAUAAGCAAUACUUGAGAACAACUUAAUUUUAAAUAAAAGAGCUUAAAAUAUUUUAUUUUGUUAUAUCUCUUUUUAUUUUUUAAAUUUAAAAUCACUUGUUUAACCGAUUUGUUAAUCGGUUAUAUCAUUUUAGAAAUAAUUAAUUUUUUAUUAAAAAAUAAUUUAAACUGUUAAUUAGAUUGCACGGUACAUAUUUUUUUAUAUUGUUAAUACUAUAAAAAAAUUACAACAUCAUGAAUAGAUCCAUCAACUUACUAAUGAGAUAGCCACUUUGGCCGAGUGGUGGACCAUACUCUUAAAGUUAACCAUGAUUAUGAGGACAGUGGUUCGAGUCUCUAUGGACUCACCCACCUUCAAUUAAGUAUAAUUGUGUGGAGUUAAUUUGUAAGUUUUUCUCCCUAGCGAAAUGCAAGUGGAGUGCAUUUCGCAGAGAUAUCCCUCAUUUAUGAGGAUUAUUUAUCUGGACAUGUAUUUUAUAUAAUUUAAUGUAAUAAUGUAAGUUCUAAUUAUAUAUUUGAUUGUAAAUAUUAAUGUAAUGAUUUGUUGUAAUAAUAAUUAUAAAUAUUUGUGUAAUAUAAUAAUUUGAUUUGUAAUCAAUAUUUAAAAAACAAAACUUAAUAAUAAGAUGCCGUAACGCGUUACAAAACCGCGCCUUGUGUCGAAUAAGUGACGAAAAUGUGAUCUAACCACAAGAGGGCACAAGACGAAGGGAAACCACCACACAUUUUAGUUGAGAAAAUUUAAUGUAGUCUAGAAGUUUCACUCACGUUAGCGGCACAAACAAUCAUUAUAGUACUUCGCUCUAUGUAUAAUUGACUGGUAAAAAAAACAAAAAAAAAGCAAACGAGUGGUUAUUAAAUGGGAAAUUUACAAAAAUAAUCAUAAAACUUUUGCUAUUUCCACAAUUAACCCUAUAAACUUUUUUUUAUCAACAUUAGCCAAACACACGCUUUUCUCCCCAAAUUACCUUUGUUUACAAACCAAAAGCAACUUUCUUUCUCCCCUUUUAUCAAACCAAACGCAUCUUUGCACUCUUGAAUCAUCACCGGCGACAGCAAAAGGCAACGAUAAACGCCGACGGCGAACGGUAAAAGUGAAAUUCGAUCAUAAUCCAUCCGGAUCCAACACCAAUCGGCAUCACUGAGUGGUAUCAAUUAUUAUCUGAACUUGCGAGAGAGUUUCAGUGUGGUUUGUCACGGGCUGCGUAAAACUCUACGAUUGGAGGUUAACUCACGCAUGCGGGCUCGCUUAGUACUCAAGGUGGGUACACUUAGAAGUGGGGUUGACUUAGAAAUGGGCCGCCAACAUAACAAGCCAUCCGGGGUGCGCUUAGCAAACCACCCACCAAGGCCCAAGAUCUAGAACUCUCUACAUAUUACUCAUUCACUAGAACAUUCUAGGACUCACCACUUGGGUCCCUAAAUAUUUUGCCACUUGUAGUAGAGUUCUCUAGAAUUAAGCACUCCACCCCCUAUAAAUAGGAGUGAGCACCCAUCAUGUUCAUAACCACCAACACACCCACACAACACACCUAGCACACUAGCACACAAGCUCUCUUGUACAAACACCCUUGUAAUCUUUCUAAGUGUAUAUAAUACAAUCACAUUCGGCCAUCUUACUCUUGCUUCCCAUAACAUUUUCUCCAAGUGUGUGUGUUUGACUUGUUUGGGGAGUAAUCAAGGCUUACUUGGCGACUCACGCGCUAAGGUCGCUCAAGCGCCGCACAUGACUUUUCUGCGCAAAAUUAUCAUCCCGCGACAAGUGGUAUCAGAGCUACGGUUUGCACCCACACGCAAACUAGUUCAUAGACGAUGGCCAAUCCUUCCAGCACAUUGCUAGAGGGCACACUCGGUGCGGAGGUACCGGAGCAAGCUCGUGGCCGUGAGGAGGGAGGACGCGGACAACCAAAGUCCCGAGGUAAGUCCAAAGCCCCUUCUAUGGAUGCAUUGGAACCUCGUGUUGCCACGCUCGAAACUUUAAUGGCUGCUGUCCAAGACACCAUUGAUACAUUAGAGGAGCGAGUCGAUGGCCUUGAGGGUGAGUAUGGCGAAUUCACAGCAGCCACCAAAGCCCUCAUGCAAGACCAAACCGACUCCCUUCGAGGGGAGUUCUGAGCGUUCCAUGACGAGCUGCUCAAUUUGCGUAGCUUUGUGCAAAAUGAGUUGCGUGCAGUCCGUGCGGAGGUCGAUGAGGUCCGCUCGGAUUGGGCUUGGCACAAGCGCACACUCAUGCCUAGUCCAGCUACGGUUCCCGCAAGCUCGAGUGAUGCGCACCGCAUUGACGUGCCCAAGCCCGAUACUUAUGAUGGUGCGCGCAACGCUAUUGUGGUGGAUAACUUCCUCUUUGAGCUAGAGCAAUAUUUUGAUGCCAUGGGUGUUCGUGACAAGGCAUCAAAGGUAGGCACUGCCCCUACAUUCCUCUGAGGUGUCGUGCAACUAUGGUGGCGGCAGAAACAUGGUGAGAUGGGCAAGGGCAUUUGCGCCAUCAACACAUGGGCCGAAUUUCAGCAAGAACUCCGCAAGCAUUUUGCCCCAAGCAAUGCGGAGAAGGAAGCACGAGCGCGGUUACGUCGGCUCAAGCAAAUGGGUAGCGUCCGCGAUUACAUCAACGACUUCACCACCCUUAUGCUUGAGAUUUCCAACAUGUCCGAUAAGGACUCUCUCGUCUACUUCCAAGACGGCCUUAAAGAUUGGGCCAAGACGGAGCUUGAUAGGCGUGGCGUACAAACUCUCGACGACGCCAUUGCCAUUGCGGAAUCACUCUCCGAUUACUCUGCCCAGCCCAAAGACAAGAGGCCUAGCCACGGCAAAGGUGGGGGAGAGGGCCGGAAGGACAAGAGCCGCAACCGCAAGGAAUGGGGAUAGAAAACGCCUCCAAGCAGCAAGAGCGGACAAAGCAAGACAGAAAAACAGCAGCCGCCUAAGCCUCGAAGCCCAUGUUUCAUUUGCAACGGCCCUCAUUGGGUGCGUGAUUAUCUGGAGAAAAAGUCGCUUAGCGCCCUCGCCGCUCAGCUCAAGGGCGACUCUCCAUCGACACCGGAAGAACCCCAACCUAGAGUGGGUUCCCUCAAACGCCUUGGCGCACUCGAAAGCCGUCCGCCCACAGCCACGAGGAAAGGGCUCAUGUAUGUGAGUGCCACAGUCAAUGACCAAGCUGUUCGGGCAUUGCUCGACACUGGAGCCACACACAACUUCAUCUCGGAAGAAGAGGCUAAGCGCCUAGGCCUAAAGGUGAUGAAGGACGGAGGCACAAUGAAGGCGGUAAACUCACCCGCCAAGCCCAUUGCGGGCACCGCACAAGGAGUGCGCGUUACUCUUGAGACGUGGAGCAGAAAGCUCGACUUCUCGAUCGUGCCCAUGGACGACUUCAAGAUGGUCCUCGGCAUGGAGUUCUUCGACCGAGUCCAUGCGUUCCCACUGCCGGCCACGAACUCCCUAAGCAUCCUCGACGGGAGUAUGGCGUGCAUGGUCCCAGCCGAGCGCUCGAAGACCACGAACAAGGCGCUCUCCGCCAUGCAUUUCAAGAAGGCUUUUCGGAAGGACCCUAGCUUCUUGGUCUUCAUCCGGGAGGUGAAUAAUGAAGAAGAUCGAGAAGACUUGCCAAGCCAAGCCCCUCCGUUCAUCCAAGCCGUCCUCCACGAGUUCAAGGACGUUAUGCCUCCGAAGCUCCCGAAAAAGCUCCCACCAAGUCGAGAGGUGGAACAUGAGAUUGAGCUAGAGCAAGACGCGAAGCCGCCAGCCUUAGCGCCUUACCGCAUGGUGCCACCUGAGCUAGAAGAGUUGUGGAGGCAACUCAAGGACUUGCUUGAUGCGGGCUACAUCUGCCCAUCCAAGGCUCCGUUCGGUGCACCCGUACUCUUUUAAAAGAAGAAGGAUGGAUCUCUACGCAUGUGCAUCGACUAUCGGGUGCUCAACAAGAUUACAAUCAAGAACAAGUAUCCGAUUCCCUUGAUCGCGGACUUGUUCGAUCAACUCGGCAGCCCACGGUACUUCACCAAGCUCGACCUACGGUCCGGGUACUACCAAGUAUGCAUCGCCAAGGUUGAUGAACCAAAGACGGCGUGCGUGACCAGGUAUGGCUCCUUCGAAUUUCUUGUUAUGCCGUUUGGUCUUACCAAUGCACCGGCAACAUUUUGCACUCUCAUGAACAAAGUCCUCUAAUCGUUUCUCGACUGCUUUGUUGUGGUGCACUUGGACGACAUUGUGGUAUACAACACCACACUUGAGGAACAUGCCCAACAUUUACGGCAAGUUCUCCAAGUACUACGCAACAAUGAACUCUACCUCAAAGUGGAGAAGUGCUCGUUUUCCCAAUGAGAGGUGGAGUUUCUUGGCCACAAGAUAGCGGACGGGAAACUCAUGAUGGAGGACUCGAAAGUAAAGGCUAUACUUGAAUGACAACCUCCCACCAAUGUACUCGAACUCCGAUCUUUCCUCGGAUUGGUGAACUAUUACCGCCGCUUUAUCAAAGGGUAUUCGGCUACAGCAGUACCCUUGACCGAGCUAUUGAAGAAGUACCGCACGUGGCAUUGGUCCAAGGAAUGCCAACGAGCUUUCGGGGAGUUAAAGAAGGCUAUCUCCAAACAGCCCGUCCUCGCACUUCCGGACCAUACAAAGCCAUUCGAAGUUCAAACGGAUGCAUCCGACUUUGUCAUAGGCGGAGUACUCAUGCAAGAAGGCCACCCUAUAGCAUUCGAGAGCCGGAAGCUUAACGACACAGAACGCCGCUACACCAUGCAAGAGAAGGAGAUGACAGCCAUUGUCCAUUGUCUACGUGUGUGGCGACACUACUUACUUGGCUCACACUUCGUGAUCUUGACGGACAACGUAGCCACGAGCUACUUCCAAACACAAAAGAAGUUGAGCCCCAAGCAAGCUAGGUGGCAAGACUUUCUUGCGGAUUUGAUUAUAGGCUCGAGUGCAAGCCCGGAAAAGCCAACGUUGUUGCGGAUGCUCUAAGCCACAAAGCGGAGUUGGCUACACUUAGCAUGAGCCAGCCGAAGUCUGAUCUCGUCACACGCAACAAGGAAGACCUCCAACAGGAUCCGUUAGCGAAAAACUUGUUGGGAAAGGUGCUUGAAGGAAAGACGAGACGAUUUUGGCAAGAAGAAUGCAUCCUCCUCACCAAGGGAGAUUGAUUAUUUGUGCCAAGGUGGGGAAAUUUACGGCGAGAGGUGAUCAAGGAGUGCCAUGACUCGAAAUGGGCUGGCCACCCCGGAGUAGAGCGCACGACUGCACUCGUCCAAGCCUCCUACUUUUGGCCACACAUGAGAGAUGACAUUGAGGCCUACGUGCGGACAUGUCUCGUGUGCCAACUAGACAAGGCGGAUCGCCAACUUCCAGCGGGACUGUUGGAGCCCUUACCAACAGCAUCAAGACCAUGGGAGAGUGUCACCAUGGACUUUAUCUCGGCUUUACCCAAGUCCGAGGGGUGCGGAAGCAUUAUGGUGGUAGUCGACCGUUAUAGCAAAUAUGCGACUUUCAUCGCUGCACCAACCGAUUGCAAAGCGGAUGAGGCUGCCCACUUAUUCGUCAAGCACAUCAUCAAGCUUUGGGGAGUUUCGAAGAGCAUCGUGAGUGACCAGGAUCCACACUUCACUGGACGCUUUUGGAUGGAGCUCUUCAAGAUGUUGGGAACCGACCUCAAGUUCUCAACAAGCUUUCAUCCGCAAAUGGAUGGACAGACCGAGCGUAUCAACAGCCUACUCGAGAUGUAUAUUAGACAUUAUGUAGUGCUCACCAGCGAGAUUGGGCUAAGUUGCUGGACGUUGCCCAAUUCUUAUACAACCUACAACGGAGCGAGGCUACGGGCAAGAGUCCAUUCGAGAUCAUCAUGGGAUUUCAGUUGAGGACGCCCAACGCCAUAGCUUCGACCUAUGAAGGAAAGAGCCCAGCAGCACACAAACUCGCUCGCGAAUGGCAUGAAGAAGCGGACAUCACGCAACCAUAUCUUGACAAGGCCGCACGGAGAAUGAAAAAGUGGGCUGACUCAAGGAGAUGCCAUGUCGAGUACAAGGAAGGCGACCAAGUGAUGGUGAAGCUCUUACCCCAACAGUUCAAGACGUUGCGGAAAGUCCACAAAGGGCUAGUGAGGCGAUACGAAGGGCCUUUCGAAGUGUGGGCAAAGUCUCCUACCAACUCCAACUUCCACCAAGACUCAAAAUCCACCCAGUCUUCCACGCGAGCUUGCUCAAACCAUACCACGGAGAUGCGGGAGAUCCAAGCCGAGGCAAGUCAAGACGUGCCCCGACUGCCGUUGUCACCGCAUCUGACAAGGAUGUGGAGUACAUCCUUGCGGAUCGAGUAAUCCGAAGACGGGGCAUACCGGCUUACAACGAGUACUUGAUGAAAUGGAAGAACCUCCCCGAGAGCGAAACAACAUGGGAGAGCGAAAAUGACCUUUGGCAAUUCGCGGCAAUUUGCGGAACAUGUACAGCUCUACAAGCACAACAACACGACGAGGACGCCACGGACUUAGGUGGGGGAGGAUUGUCACGGGCCGUAAAAAACUCUACGAUUGGAGGUUAACUCGCGCAUACAGGCUCGCUUAGUACUCAAGGUGGGUACACUUAGAAGUGGGGUUGACUUAGAAAUGGGCCGCCAACAUAACAAGCCAUCCAGGGUUCGCUUAGCAAACCACCCACCAAGGCCCAAGAUCUAGAACUCUCUACAUAUUACUCAUUCACUAGAACAUUCUAGGACUCACCACUUGGGUCCCUAAAUAUUUUGCCACUUGUAGUAUAGUUCUCUAGAAUUAAGCACUCCACCCCCUAUAAAUAGGAGUGAGCACCCAUCAUGUGCAUAACCACCAACACACCCACACAAUACACCUAGCACACUAGCACACAAGCUCUCUUGUACAAACACCCUUGUAAUCUUUCUAAGUGUGUAUAAUACAAUCACAUUCAGCCAUUUUACUCUUGCUUCCCAUAACAUUUUCUCUAAGUGUGUGUGCUUGACUUGUUUGGGGAGUAAUCAAGGAUUACUUGGCGACUCACGCGCUAAGGUCGCUCAAGUGCCGCAUGGGACUUUGCUGCGCAAAAUUAUCAUCCCGUGAUAGGUUGCUUGCUGUGAGUCGUGGGACAAUCUGCCUCAAGCUUCGUGCGACAGGUGCCUGUCGCACGAAGCUUGGUGCGUCAGGCAUGAAGCUAUUAAAUGAUCAGAUUGAAACUUGGACCAUUAUCUUAAUAUUGUACCUGCUAAACCAGGCUGGUGUCUUUCAAACUUGUAAGUUGGAGGGAAUCUUAUGAUUGCUUCUCGCAUGCCUUGGAAAACUUUGCCUGCUUUCAUCUCUGCCCGGAGCUGAUCUUUUUCUCUCAGCUAAUCGAAGCAUCUUUGGGAAACAAAGUCUCUUGCUUCAUCGUAAGAUAUUCCAAAAAGUCUAUAGUUCAAAUCACCAAAAAAAUAUAGCCAUAUCUACUUCAGCUAAAUCAGGCUUUGUUUCUUCAGUAUUCAGAGUAGUAGUAGUCUGAGGAAGCACCAGAAUAGCAGUAAACCAUAGCGUCAUAGAGAGGACUAGAAUAUGAAAGGCUGGAGACUAAGAUGUUAUGAGUAAAAUAAAUCAGAACAAGGACGUACAUUUGAAGUCUUCAUUAUGUUGACGGCAGUUGAGACACCAGCUGCAGCAAAAAGCACCAAUGGGAAGCCAAAAAGUAAAAAUAAAUAUGUGCAGAAGGCAAGAGAGCAAUACAAAAACAGGUAUGGCACCAUACCAAAUGCAGAAUUAAGUGUACUUGUCGAUCUACUGAAGACCAUAUUUCUAUAUAUGUGAUCAUAAUCAACAUUCCUACGGUUGACAGCUUCCAAGUGUGCUGCUAGGUGAUAGUUCAUAAAGCAAAUAGUCUUGUCGUAGACUCUGAUUCUCAAACCUACCCCUCCCUGUGUGGCCAGAAGUAGUGGUGUCAACAUAUCUUUCGUUUAUGAUAGAAGGGAUUACGAUUAUAUCACCUAAGCUUCAAUAGUGCAUUAUGCAGACAAGUGUUCUUUUUCUUCGGCAUGUAAAUCACGGUUCAAGACUUACUUGCAUAUAAUCAUUUGGAUCACAUAGGCAAAACAAAAAGCUGACAGCAUAAAAUAAAUUUUGGUUUCAAUGUGUCGCACGAAGCUAUGUGCGACAUGCGCCUGUCGCACGAAACUUGAGGCAUAUUGUCCAACGACUCACAACAAGCAACCGCACUGAAACUCUCUCGCAAGUUUAGAAAAUAACUGAUAUCACUCAGUGAUGCCGAUUGGUGUUGGAUUCGGAUGGAUUAUGAUCGGAUUUCACUUUUACCGUUCGUCGUCGGCGUUUACCGUUGCCUUUUGCCGUCGCCGGUGAUGAUUCAAGAGUUCAAAGCUGCGUUUGGUUUGAUAAAAGGGGAGAAAGAAAGUUGGUUUUGGUUUGUAAACAAGGGUAAUUUGGAGAGAAAAGCGUGUCUUUGGCUAAUGUUGAUAGAAAAAGUUUAGAAGGUUAAUUGUGAAAAUAGCAAAAGUUUUAUGGUUAUUUUUGUAAAUUUCCCUUAUUAAAUGCACAUGUCAAUUUCUUUGCGUGCAUAAUGUGUAACCUAUGCUAGAGAGAACUUUUUUUUUUUAAGGGUGGGCCAGUUGAACGUAUGAAUUUAUUUUCUACUGAUUUUUUUAAUUAAAAUUUUUAUUAUAUAAAUAUUUUUUAAAAAUUAUUUAAUUAACUGUCUCUUAUCUUUCUCAUUUCAAUUUCAUAAAUUCUUAUCAAUUUAUUUAAAUGUAUUCUUUUACCUAUAAAUAAUUGAUAUCACUAACAAAAGGUGAAAAUAAAUAGAAAGAAUAAAAUAAAUAUCACUCAUCAUUUAAAAAUAAAUAUCAACAAAUUUUUAUCAACCAUAAAAGUUUGUCAAUAUAGAAAUUAAUUUUUACCAAGCACAAAAACCUAUGAAAAUCAAGAAAAAGAAUUCUCAUAUAUAGAAAAAAUGAAAUAGAAAUCGUGAUAUACUAAGAAAGAACAAAAAAUAAAUUUAAAAGAAAGUAAAAUUAAGUGUUUAGUUUGUAAAAUAUGAGAGUAGAGAGAGAGAAUAUGCAAUUGUAAGUAGGACUGCACAUUAUCUAGUUUGGUUUGAUUCAGCCUAGGAACCAAACUGAACUGAAACCAAUCAGUUCUUUAAAACUGGAACUAAAUAUGAACCGAACUGAACUGAAGUUUUCGGUUCGGUUCGAUUGAGUACGGUUUUGAAAUCUGGUUCAUUUCGGUUUGAUUCUAGUUUUGAUUAGCUUGGACCAGGAUCAUGAAGCCCUUUUGUUAGUGAUUGUUCCUCAUUGAUUUCAGAUCGAAGCUUGUAUUAAGCUCUAAUAAUUAGGCAUCAAAGUGAAUAAAACUAAAAGAAAUAAGCAAUCUUGAUUCAUUCAACCAUUUAUUAUUUUGUUUAUAAAGCACCCAACAAAUUAAACUACAUCUAUGAAUCCCAACUCACAAAAUUAAGGAAAAAGGUGUGAAAUAAAUUAUUGAGCAUGACAGUUGCUACAAGCAUACUUAAAAUCAAUUCAAUUGAAAACAAUAGCCUCUCCACGAACUUCAUGAAAUCUAUGUGGAUGUUUCAGAUAAUUUGUAAUUGUGAACCUCGCGUUUCCAUUUGCUUCCAAGUCUUUCCAUCAAAAUCAAUUUAAUUUAAGGAAUAAUCAAUGAACAUAUAAAAAAAGUCAACACAAGUUGCACAACUCCACCAGCGCGAUAGCUUCGGUAAGCUGCCAAUGGCACGAGUGUGACGAACAUGAGGCAAGGCUGACAUGAGCGCAACGAGAUGAACUACGACAGGCUGGCUGUGGUGACGGCGACAAGUUGACACCAGCACAACAGUAACAACGACAAGCUGAUACAAGCGCGACAGCAAUGACAACAGACUGGCUGAUAAGUGACGGUGGUGGAUGUGUGUGUGUGUUGGCGAAAGUGAGAGAGAUGGUGAGGGUUUUUGUGUGUGAAAAAGAUGAAGUGAGUGCAGAUGUGUUAGUGUGUGUGAGUUGUGAGAGAGGUGGUGUGUGUGCGUGAGAGAGAUUUUAGCGUUUAGAAUUAUUUUACUUAUUUAUAUUUUUUAUUUUAAUAUUUAUUUAGUUUUAAGUGAAAGAACCGAUUUGUUCGACGGUUCAGUUCGGUUUUGAGCUUAAUCGAAUGCAAACCAAUUUAGUUCGCAAAUUUUCAAAUUAUUUGGCUUUUGUCCUUAGAACCGAACUAAAUUGAAAUUUUUUAGUUCAGUUCGGUUCGACAAAAAUCGAACCGUCUACCCAUCCCUAAUUGUGAGGUGUAGAGAGAAAGAUAUUGGUGAAGGAAAUUUUAAAUUUUUAAUAAUGAAUUUAUUUUUUAAAAUGGGUGUAGAGAGAAAUUUAUUAUGACUUUAUUUUUUUAUAUAAAAGAGUGGGGCUAUUUUUUAAAAAUGAAUUUAUUAUAUAUUCUUAUUAGACCUUGAUAUAUAAAAAUUUUACUAUAAAAUAAACACGAGAAAAAGUUUGCAAUGAAUACAGAAUAUCAAUAUUAAAAAUAAGCUUUAAAAACCAAACCUUAAUACUAAAACAAGUUUGAAUAGGCCUCCAAAAUAUAAAAUAUCCGUCCAACUAAUUUUUAGGUAAUGUAGAUUCCAAAAUACCGGAGUCUAACAAAUGGAUAAGAAAUCAAUUACGGGAAAGUGAGGAUCUAAAUAAUAAUAAGAAAAAAAUGGCAUUUUCUAAUAAAUAAACAACAAAUUCACAAAACCACUCAACUAAAAUGGCCAGAGCUUCAAGUCCUCAGAAAGUAUUGUAAGAGUUUAGUUCCUUCUUUAGUUAUGAAAAAUAAUUAAGUGAAAACAGUCUUCUCUCUUUCAAAAUAUUCGAGGGUAAAAUCUAGUAAUUGUCUGAUUGUAAAUAUUAGACAAUUAGAAAGGCUAAAAUAUGGGCAGUGUUAUAUAAGAUUUAUGGUGCGUUUACUAAACCGAAAUUAGAAUGGGCUAGAAUAAGAAAAGGUUGGAAUCAGAAUGAACUAAAAUGGGAAUGAUAAAUGGGAAUUAAAAUAACUUGUUACUUAAGCUAUAGGAAUCGAAAUCGGAAUGAGCUCCAUUCCCAUUAAUGUGUUUAAUUUAUCCUAGAAUCAGAGUGGACUAUUUUAAAUUGCUAAAAUAUCCUUUGUUAAUUGUUAUCCCUAAUAUUAUUGGUAUCUAUUAUAAUAUUAACAAUAAUAAGAAUAAAAAUAAUAUUAAAACUGAAAAUAAUAAUAAUAUAGACAAUAAUGAUAGAUUAACAUAAUAAUUAAAAUAAUAAAAUAAAUAAAUUUUUAUAAUAAUGAUAAUAGUGACAACAAAAUGAAGGAUAAUAAUAAUACUAAUAAAAUUAAUAGAUUAUGAAAAUGAUGAUAAUGAUGAUGAUGAUGAUGAUUAUUAUUAUUAAUAUUAAUAUUAUUAAAUAAUAAGGGACCUAUGUGUAAAUAUUACAACAUUCACAGGUGUAAUUAUAUAAAAUUUGUAUAGAUCAAAAUGAACAGAUGGCAAACUUUUCCCUGUAAGUUACCAUCCGAUUCCACAUUAGUAAUAAGCAAAUAAAUUGAAAUUAAAAUAAUAAUAAAUUGGCGGUGACGAAUUCCUCUCCAUCAAAGGCUGGUUUCAUCUCGGUUCGUGGAUGUGCUCGUGUUGACCAUUUUAGUUUUCACCGCUCGUCUUCACUGCCGAUUUCAAGCUCCUCGUCACUAGGGAUGGCAAUGGAUUGGAUCUAACCCAAGAUCCACGUGAUCUAAAUUCAAUCGGAUUGGAUUUGAGUUGAUUUAAAAUAAAUUUGUAUCGAAUUUGAAUAUUGAUGUCUGGAUUUAAGACGGAUUUGAAGUAGGUCUGGAUCUUUCUUAAUAUCUAAAUCCAUAUCCAUAUCCACUCAUCUUUUAAUUUAAUUUAUUUUAAAAGUUUCUUAACAAUUGUGGAAUUAUAAUGAUAAUAAAUUUUAUUCAUAGCAUAUUAGUGAUAUUUACCAUGCAUUUAAACUCUUAAAACUUAAAGGUUAGUUUUGUAAAUUUAAAGGUCAGCCAGCUCUAAAGAAUGUACAUGCAAUAUUCAAAUUGCAAGCCGAGUAAUACAACUUGACAAUUUAUUUUAUUAUAUUGGUCAAAUAGUUUUUAAGGAAUAUAGUUAUUAAUAUAUUUCAUAAUAAAAAUAAUAAACGACUGAGUAUAAAUCAUAUUUAAUUUAUAUGUCAUUAUCUAAUAUUAUAGGAAUGAGGGUGGAUGUAUCGUGGAUAUUAGAAUGAUGAAGGAGACAAUAAAAUAUUAGAUUGAUUUUACUCCUGCAAUUACUUUUAAAAGAUAUUUUAUUAUCUUUCUUAUUUGUUGUUUUGGUGUAAAAGUAUAAGUUACAAUAUUUAUUAUAUUUUUUAGAAAAAUUAUAUAAUUUAUUUGUUAUCAAUACAUUUUAACCUUCAAUUUUUAAUCUAAAAAACUAUUACUUUUUAAUUGCUGAGUUUUAGAAUUCAUGACGGAUCUAUAGCAUAUUUGAAUUUUAAUUUUUUUUCACAUUUGGAGCAGAUAUAGAUAUUUAUUUCUUUUUUGGAUCUAGAUAUGGAACGAAANNNNNNNNNNNNNNNNNNNNNNNNNNNNNNNNNNNNNNNNNNNNNNNNNNNNNNNNNNNNNNNNNNNNNNNNNNNNNNNNNNNNNNNNNNNNNNNNNNNNGAAAUCAGUAACGACUUCUUUAUAGCCAACAAACUGGAUAUGACGAUGAUGAUGAUGAUGGUUGAUUUUGGCAGCAACAGUGACAAGACACGGUGAUGGCAUUCGGCUUGGUGGAGCUAUGAUGAGAGGAGUAUCGUGGCUUAGGGAUUUGGCCUUUUAUUUUUUAUUUUUUUUUAUUUUUUUUGGUAUUCAUAUUUUUUUCAUUUAAAAAGGGAUAACUUGGAAAUAUUGAAAUGUUAAUAGGGUAAGAACAUGAAAUCUUAGGAGGGGGAGAUUCAUUCCCAACCCCUUGGAAGCCAAUUUCUCAUUCCCUAUUUCCAAAUUCAGGUAGGCCCCAUGAUUUUGAUUAUGAUUCUUAUCUUCGUUUUACGAAAUAAACACUGUCAAUAAUUGCAAUUCCGAAUUCCGAAUCCCUAAUCGAAGAAUUAAACACACUAUUAAUGUAAAUGGAGCAGAGAUCUCUCGAAUAAACUAGUUUCAGUAAUUGCUCAGCAGCCUUCUCCCUUUUGAAAUUUGAGGGUAAAAUCUGAUAAUUGUCUUAUUGUAAAUAUGAUACUAUUAGAGAGAAUGUAAUCUAGACAGUACUGUAAGAUUUAAUAUAAAUGGAGUAGACAUGCCUCAAAUAAUCUAGAUCUAGUAAUUAUUUAAUGUAAAUAGAGUAGAUAUCCCUAAUAAUUGUUUUACGUAUAUGGUGUAGAUAUCUCUUCAAUAAACCAAUCACAAUAUUUGUGUAAUUAUAGAUAUCAAUAUUUAUCGUAAAUUAGUUCUAAUAAUUAUCUAUUUAUAAAUAUUAAUAAUAGUCGAUGUUAGUUUCAAUAAUUAUCUAUUUAUAAAUAUUAAUAAUAGUCGAUGUAAUCUUAACACUAGUCUCGUAAUAGAUUUGAUGUUGCUGAUGGUCAUAAUAAAUGUUCAGAAAAAAAAUGACAUAUUAUAGGAAAUAAAAGACAAACGCAUUGGCUUCUUGCUUUGCCAGUCAACCUGCAACUAUGAAUGAGAACCAUAGCUUUUGGCUGUUUGGUUCAAUGAACUUGUUUAUGUUCCUAAACACGUAAUAAAUCCAUUUGAAAGAGUAUAUUAAUUGACAAUACACAUACCAAACUAUACUCCUAUUUAAUGCUUUCCUCUGCACAGUGGAAUAUGUGAUUUUGAUGUAGUACUAAACCACGUGAAAAUGUGGAAAAUUAUGUAUGGUACAAAGACAAGUCAAUAGCAUAAAUAAUCGUUUAUUCUCUAAGUUUUUAUUUAAAUUUUUUUUAAUUCUUAUAUUUUAAAAAUUAUCUCAAGAAAUUCUUAUUUUAAAUAUGAUAUAUUUUUAUCCUUAUUUUUUUGACAACUUUUCUAAAAAUAUCCUUGCAAUAAUCUUUAUAAAAAGAAAAAAAAUGUUAAUUUAUUAUAUUAACCAUAUAAGUAAAUAAAAAUUAAUGUAGAAAUUUCUAUUAUUAUUUUACUUUUAAGGUUAAUUUGGUUUUCGUAAAUAGAAAUUAUUGUAAAAAUUAUUGCAUGAAGAUUAUUGUAAAAGUAAAGAAAAAGUAAUGGCAAGAGUGUAACAUAUUUAAUAGUAGGAAGUUUACCCAUUUCAAAUUACAUGUGCAUUUUAUUUUUAAAAAAUUAGUAGACAAACAGAUAAAAACAUUGUUGAUUAGCAGGAGCUUUUGUAGUAAUUAAAUAUGUCAUGUUAUUACUAAUGGGUUGUAUUAUUUCCAAUUUUUUGAAGCACGGCAAAAGAUUUUCAUUUUCAUGCAAUGAAUAACAAAGAGUCAAAUUUCUCUGCGUUCAUACGUGGCCAUAAAACACCACGAGAAAAACGUUAUUCAUAAGCAGUAUUCAUCAACUUCUCUACUUAUAAAUUGCCUUCAAAUUACACGACAGAAGCCCAAUAUAAUUCACUCUAACACUUGUUUCAGCAUGUCUUCUCUUGAUCACUCUAUUCCUGUGCCAGCAAUCAGUAGAGCAUUUGAAGUAGUGGAGAGCAGUAGUAAUAAUAAAACCGCAACUCAUAGUAUUAAUGUUAAUGAAGAUGAUGGAGAUGGUGUUUUCUUAACUUGGCAAGAUCUGUGGGUUACGGUUCCCGAUGGUCAGAAAAAAGGCAACAGAUCAAUCCUUCAAGGUCUUACUGGCUACGCAAGACCUGGGGAGCUUUUGGCUAUUAUGGGUCCUUCUGGUUGUGGAAAAUCUACUCUUCUUGAUGCUUUAGCUGGUAUUUAAAUUUUUUAUAACCACUAUUUUUUUUUUUUGCCAAGUAAUUGUGUUUGAUUUCUAAAGGAAUGAAAAAUAGCUAAGCUAUCAAAAAAAAAAAAAAUUAGUAUUUUUUUGCCAAGUAAUUGUGUUUUUCUAGUUUAUGCAUAAUUUUAACAUGAAAUGCAAAAAAUUAAAAAUUAAUUAUAAAAUAGAGUAACACUUAUCAAACAUCAAACAACUCAACUUCUUUCUUGCAUAUGUAUAUGAAUUUGAAACUCCAAGCUUCUUAUUUCUUUUGAAAAAAUUCUAUCACCUAAAUAGUAGUCACUCAUUAAUUAAAUACAAAUUACAUUCAUCUUAUUUACAUAUAUAUCUCUGUGUGUGUACAAAUAAUUUUUAACUCAUGUUUAAACACUUUAUUAUGUUUUAAUAUAGGAUUUAAAUCUAAUGUUGAGCUGAGUUAUGCUCAACUUUAUAUAAUUUACUAUUACAAAUACAUGUUUAAAGACAUAUAAGAUUAAGAUUUAAAUUAAUUUUAUACUAUUAUCUAACAAUUAUUAAUUAUAUUUUUUAAAAAAAUUAAUAAAAAGCUCAACUUAAUACUGAAUCUAAAUGCUUUAAUUGAAGGCUUGCAAUUUUGUCAAAAUUUACAUUAAAAUUGUGUAAAUUGAACAUACCCGAGAUAUAAACGAAUCAAACCUCCCGGGCCCCCGAGUUUUCAACCUUUUUUUUCGCUACUUAUGAUGGUGGGCCCCACUCUGUCGAUCUUUUUAUUUCUUACCCCACUUUAUCAAUUGUGGACCCUCCAUAUUGGCCUUUUUCUGAUUUAUUUUUAUUUGUUAUGGUUUGGUCAACGUUGAAGAAUUUAAGAAAAAUAAAAUAAAUUGCACAAUCGAAAGGUCGAUGCUGUGAUUACAAAGCAGCUUUCGUUAUGUCAUAACUAUUUUACAGUUUUCUCUGGGAAUUCUUGUUACAGUUUUAUUAAUUCGUUUUAUCACAACACCAAAUUUUCCGUUAAAUUAAUUAAGUUGUUCGUUAGAUUAACAACGGAUUUCAUAUAAAUUAAAUAUAACAAAUAAAUUUUAAUACUUGCAACAAAAAUUUGAUAGAUCCUGACACAAGUUAUUCUAGUUAGAUUUUUUAAAGUUACAUUUCUUAUAACUUAUAAUUAAGUUUCUUAGUAUAAAAAUGAGUAAUAAAAUAGUGAGGCCAAGUAAACCAGUGGGUGAAUUUUACUUAAAAUGUAACUUACUGAGAUUGAUUCUAGUGUGAGGACAACUUCAAAUAAAUUUAGUGAGGACAUCUUGAAAUAAAUUUAAUAGACAUAUAUCUUUUUACCCCCAGCUGGUGCCUGACAAAGGUUUUCUUUCUAGCAAUUUUAUUUAUGAUUGCAAAAUUAAUUUGUAUUUUACUCGUCCCUCUAUUUUUUCUAAAAAAUUUAUUUUAAAAAAAAUUAACAGACAUGCAUGUAUUUCGCAGGAAGACUAGGAUCGAACACAAGGCAAGCAGGAGAAAUUCUAAUUAAUGGGCGAAAACGGGCACUGGCUUAUGGAACCUCGGUACAAAUGUUACCAUUAGCAUAAUUAUUUAACUACUUUUUAAAUUUUUGUUUAGCAUUCAAUUUUCGGAUUCAUAUCCAGAUUUUUUUUAAAAAAAUAUAUAUUAAGAAUUGGUCAUAGUAGUAGUAUUCUGAUAAUGUGAAUGUCUGGAUUUUACAAAAUUCGAAUUUGAAUUAAAUCAGAGUUAUAGGUUAUUGUAUAAUUUUGAUUCUAAUUUAAAUCUGAAUUUUAUAAAACUCGGACGACCGUACGACUUAGUAAUACAAUUUCCUCUAUUUAAUUCAAUAUUCUAAUUUAUUCUGAAUUCGCAAAUUAAUGAUGAACUCAGGCAUAUGUGACACAAGAUGACGCUUUGAUCACUACACUGACGGUUAGUGAAGCAGUGUACUACUCAGCUCAGCUGCAAUUGCCGGACACGAUGACCAAAUUACAGAAGAAAGAAAGAGCAGAAAUGACAAUAAAAGAAAUGGGGCUACAAGAUGCCAUGAAUACAAGAAUUGGAGGCUGGGGAGCUAAAGGCCUUAGUGGUGGUCAAAAGAGGAGAGUUAGCAUUUGCAUUGAAAUGUUGACUCGACCAAAGCUUCUAUUUCUUGACGAGCCAACAAGCGGACUUGAUAGUGCUGCUUCAUACUAUGUAAUGAGCAGGAUUGCUAAGCUUGAUCAAAGAGAUCAUGGAGUGGGAUCAAGAACAAUGAUAGCAUCAAUCCAUCAACCUAGCAGCGAAGUUUUUCAGCUUUUUCACAACCUUUGCCUUCUUUCUUCCGGUCAAACUGUCUAUUUUGGUCCAGCUUCUGCGGCAAAUGAGGCAAGUUCAUUUCCCCACAAUGUUCAGAACCCAUCAAAACCUCGGUGCUGCCAAAAAGAAAAAAAAAAAUAAAUAACUUUCACCUUUUUAAACUUAAACUACUAUACCUAUAGAAAUUUGGAUUGAUCCACAGGGAGUUAACUAUUUUAAGGCUAAAAUAGUAAAAUGAAAAGUGUAAUUUUUUUAACUAACAUAAGGUUUUGAUAGUUUUUGAAACAUGAUUAGAGAACUGAUUGGCUUAAUUACUAACAUCAUUUUCCCAAAUAAAACUUUAACUAACGUGCUUGUUUGCUUUCAAUUACAUGCAGUUUUUUGCUUUGAAUGGCUUCCCUUGCCCAGCCCUCCAGAAUCCAUCUGAUCACUUUCUUAAAACUAUAAACAAAGAUUUCCAGAAGGUAAGCUUUUUUUCUUUAUUGUAUACUUGCUUGCAUGCUUGCUUGCGCGCUUUUAGGUGAAGUGACUUAUCCAAUUCAACACAAACCUGACAAAAAGAAAAAAAAAAAAAGUUAACGAAAGAUCUUAUAGGCUUUUGUUAUCAACAGGAUAUCGAAGAAGGUUUAGCUGGAGUAAUACCGACCGAGGAAGCAAUUGAUAUUCUUACAAAAUCUUAUAAAUCCUCUGACAACUAUCUGCAAUUGCGAAGCCAGGUAGCUGAAAUAUGCAAGGCACAGGUGAGCAGACAAACAAAAUUAUUCGAUUACUUUCACACCUUAUGAGAACUUUGAAAAAACAAAAAAAAGAAUAGUGUGAGCACCACCAAACAAAGAGGCUGAAACCCACGCCACCGUGCCCCUGGGGCUACAUUCCUUAUGACUAUCUCAAUGAAAAAAAAAACUAUAUAAAUAAAGAUUGACAUUGAAAGGAAUUUACAUGAUCACAUCAAUUCACAUGCGUUACAGGAUUCUGGAGCUCUGGAGAAAAAGAGUACCCAUGCUGACUUUCUCACUCAAUGCAUAGUUCUCACAAGCAGAUCUUUUGUGAACAUGUAUCGUGAUCUAGGUUACUACUGGUUUCGCCUAGGUGUUUAUGUCUUAUUGGGAAUAGGUCUUGCGACUGUAUUUAGCAAUCUUGGGACUGACGAUAAUUCAAUUCAGGUGAGCAUAAAAUCUAUUUUUAUUAAUCACUGUGAAUUACCAGAGAUUCAUUAUUUUGUUCUGAUUAAUUAAUUAAUUUCAGGCAAGAGGUUCGCUACUCAUGUUUGUAGCUUCAUAUCUAACCUUCAUGACCAUUGGUGGAUUCCCUUCUUUUGUUGAGGACAUGAAGGUACGUAAGCAUACCCAUAUUAGAAUUUUGUAUAUCUCUUUUCGUUAAAAGCACUAAAUUUUUCUCUUACUUUUCAUCUGAGACUAAAUUUGCGUGUGUGUGUUUGGGUGUGUGUAUACAGGUAUUUGAGCGAGAGAGACUAAACGGGCACUACGGUGCCACUGCGUUUGUGUUUGGCAACACAUUUUCUGCGCUGCCAUACUUAGCUCUCAUUUCAUUGAUUCCUGGAGCGAUAGUUUAUUACCUUCCGGGACUUCACAAAGGAUAUCAACACUUCAUAUACUUUGUUUUGUUAUUGUUUGCUUGCAUGUUGCUCGUCGAGAGCCUAAUGAUGAUCGUUGCAAGCUUGGUGCCCAAUUAUCUGACGGGCAUAAUAACAGGAGCUGGAAUUCAAGGCCUUAUGAUAUUAGGCGGCGGAUUUUUUCGAUUGCCAAAUGAUCUUCCUCAUCCAUUUUGGAAAUACCCAUUAUAUUAUAUUGCUUUCCAUAAAUAUGCGUACCAAGGAAUGUUCAAGAACGAGUUUGAAGGUCUGAAAUUUGACAACAAUCUAGAUGGCGAACAGGUUUUGAGAGAUAAAUGGCAACUGCAAAUGGGAUAUUCUAAGUGGGUUGAUCUUGCUAUCUUGUUUGGUAUGGUGGUUUUUUAUCGACUUGUAUUCUUGGGAAUCAUCAAGACAGUGAAAAAGAUGAAGCCUGUGGUUAAAGCUUUUAUGUCUGUGCCCAUGAAACAAACAACUCAAAUCAUGGAAAAUCCGUGUGCUACACCUCCACAAGAAGACAAAAUAUUUUACCAGUGAUCGUGAACAAACGACUCUUCGGAUAUUCGCUAGUUCAACUAGUAAAAUUGCUCGAAGUAGGUACAAAAACUCUGUUCUCAUGGGUGGAAGAGGAAUAAUUUAAUUAGGAAGCAUAUUUUAGCUUUGAAACAUCCUUUAACUACUUUUAUUAUUGUAUUUUUGUAUGAUCAAGAUUUACUUCUUUAUCUUUAAUUUUUAUUUGUCGACUAUUAAUUAUAAAGUUUCUAUAAGCUUAUAGAUAUGAGAUUAUGAUCCUGCUUGAGAUUGCAGUUGAAAUGUUAUUAGUAACUUGUUUAAUAAAUUUUGACAAAAAUGACAUUUAGUAAAUUUUUUAAAAGUUGGUUAUUUUAAAAAAAUUUCUAUUUUGACUACAGUUUUUAAAGACAAGUGGAGAGUUGUUUUUUAUAAGUAACUUAUUAAAUAAGUCACCACACAUUUUUAAAGUUACUCUUAUAAUCUUAAUCUUUUAACAAAAUGGUAAUUAUAUCUUAUUUUUCAGAAAAUUAAUAUACAAAUAAAAGACAAUUUAAAGCUAUGUUUAUUUUGGUUAUUAUAUAAUAAAUAUGUAUUUUUGUAAUAAAAUUUAACAAACUCAUAUAUAUACUCUUCUUUUCGAACUUACACAAAUUGCAAAAUAAUUUAUCAAAUAUAAGUUGGUUUUUUAAUCAGCAGCUUAUAUCAUCUAGAUAGUAGAAGCAACCAAUUUCAUUAGUUACUGCAAUCCUAAACUAGACUUUUAUUAGUAAGAAAGAGAAAUGAUACAUAGUUGGAAAGAUGACUAAAAGGCGAUGGAAAUGGCAACUGUAAAUAUGAGAGAAAAGUAUAGAAUAGGCAGAAUGAUUUUUAUUGACAUUUGAUUAUGUAUACACAUAUAACUGACUUGUUAUACACGAUUGGUUUUUAUAGUUAAGCUAGGAUCCCUACAAUUAAGGUAUGCAAUCAAAGACUACUGUAAUUUAGGAAUACAUAUAGAAAUAUAUAUUUACAACUCAAUACAAUGAAUAAUAUGGAUUCUAUUUUCCAAUACGCCCCUCAAGGUGGAGAGUGAAUGUUCAGUACUCCCAACUUGCGAACCAUAUGCAUGAAAACUUCUUUUCCCAAAGCUCUGGUCAGCACAUUAGCAAGUUGAUUCGCGGAACUCAUAAAUCUUAUUAUCACAUAACCAUCUUGUAUCUUGUCUCUUAUAUAAUGGCAAUCCAUCUCUAUGUGCCUUGCGCGUUCAUGAAAAAUUGGAUUAGCUGCUAUAUGUAAUGCAACCUUAUUGUCACAAUAUAGCAAUGCAACCUCUUGAUAUAAAAUCCCCAAAUCUCUAAGUAAGUAACGAAGCCAUGUCAAUUCACAACAAGCUCUAGUCAUUGCAUGAUACUUUCCUUCGGCUAAGGAAAGAGAGACGGUUUUCUAGAGCUUCGAUCUCCAUGAAAUAAACAAAGGGCUUAAGAACACACAAUACCCCUUAGUAGAUCUUCUUCUAAGGGGGCAUCAUGCCCAAUCUAAGUCACAGUAUGCNNNNNNNNNNNNNNNNNNNNNNNNNNNNNNNNNNNNNNNNNNNNNNNNNNNNNNNNNNNNNNNNNNNNNNNNNNNNNNNNNNNNNNNNNNNNNNNNNNNNNNNNNNNNNNNNNNNNNNNNNNNNNNNNNNNNNNNNNNNNNNNNNNNNNNNNNNNNNNNNNNNNNNNNNNNNNNNNNNNNNNNNNNNNNNNNNNNNNNNNNNNNNNNNNNNNNNNNNNNNNNNNNNNNNNNNNNNNNNNNNNNNNNNNNNNNNNNNNNNNNNNNNNNNNNNNNNNNNNNNNNNNNNNNNNNNNNNNNNNNNNNNNNNNNNNNNNNNNNNNNNNNNNNNNNNNNNNNNNNNNNNNNNNNNNNNNNNNNNNNNNNNNNNNNNNNNNNNNNNNNNNNNNNNNNNNNNNNNNNNNNNNNNNNNNNNNNNNNNNNNNNNNNNNNNNNNNNNNNNNNNNNNNNNNNNNNNNNNNNNNNNNNNNNNNNNNNNNNNNNNNNNNNNNNNNNNNNNNNNNNNNNNNNNNNNNNNNNNNNNNNNNNNNNNNNNNNNNNNNNNNNNNNNNNNNNNNNNNNNNNNNNNNNNNNNNNNNNNNNNNNNNNNNNNNNNNNNNNNNNNNNNNNNNNNNNNNNNNNNNNNNNNNNNNNNNNNNNNNNNNNNNNNNNNNNNNNNNNNNNNNNNNNNNNNNNNNNNNNNNNNNNNNNNNNNNNNNNNNNNNNNNNNNNNNNNNNNNNNNNNNNNNNNNNNNNNNNNNNNNNNNNNNNNNNNNNNNNNNNNNNNNNNNNNNNNNNNNNNNNNNNNNNNNNNNNNNNNNNNNNNNNNNNNNNNNNNNNNNNNNNNNNNNNNNNNNNNNNNNNNNNNNNNNNNNNNNNNNNNNNNNNNNNNNNNNNNNNNNNNNNNNNNNNNNNNNNNNNNNNNNNNNNNNNNNNNNNNNNNNNNNNNNNNNNNNNNNNNNNNNNNNNNNNNNNNNNNNNNNNNNNNNNNNNNNNNNNNNNNNNNNNNNNNNNNNNNNNNNNNNNNNNNNNNNNNNNNNNNNNNNNNNNNNNNNNNNNNNNNNNNNNNNNNNNNNNNNNNNNNNNNNNNNNNNNNNNNNNNNNNNNNNNNNNNNNNNNNNNNNNNNNNNNNNNNNNNNNNNNNNNNNNNNNNNNNNNNNNNNNNNNNNNNNNNNNNNNNNNNNNNNNNNNNNNNNNNNNNNNNNNNNNNNNNNNNNNNNNNNNNNNNNNNNNNNNNNNNNNNNNNNNNNNNNNNNNNNNNNNNNNNNNNNNNNNNNNNNNNNNNNNNNNNNNNNNNNNNNNNNNNNNNNNNNNNNNNNNNNNNNNNNNNNNNNNNNNNNNNNNNNNNNNNNNNNNNNNNNNNNNNNNNNNNNNNNNNNNNNNNNNNNNNNNNNNNNNNNNNNNNNNNNNNNNNNNNNNNNNNNNNNNNNNNNNNNNNNNNNNNNNNNNNNNNNNNNNNNNNNNNNNNNNNNNNNNNNNNNNNNNNNNNNNNNNNNNNNNNNNNNNNNNNNNNNNNNNNNNNNNNNNNNNNNNNNNNNNNNNNNNNNNNNNNNNNNNNNNNNNNNNNNNNNNNNNNNNNNNNNNNNNNNNNNNNNNNNNNNNNNNNNNNNNNNNNNNNNNNNNNNNNNNNNNNNNNNNNNNNNNNNNNNNNNNNNNNNNNNNNNNNNNNNNNNNNNNNNNNNNNNNNNNNNNNNNNNNNNNNNNNNNNNNNNNNNNNNNNNNNNNNNNNNNNNNNNNNNNNNNNNNNNNNNNNNNNNNNNNNNNNNNNNNNNNNNNNNNNNNNNNNNNNNNNNNNNNNNNNNNNNNNNNNNNNNNNNNNNNNNNNNNNNNNNNNNNNNNNNNNNNNNNNNNNNNNNNNNNNNNNNNNNNNNNNNNNNNNNNNNNNNNNNNNNNNNNNNNNNNNNNNNNNNNNNNNNNNNNNNNNNNNNNNNNNNNNNNNNNNNNNNNNNNNNNNNNNNNNNNNNNNNNNNNNNNNNNNNNNNNNNNNNNNNNNNNNNNNNNNNNNNNNNNNNNNNNNNNNNNNNNNNNNNNNNNNNNNNNNNNNNNNNNNNNNNNNNNNNNNNNNNNNNNNNNNNNNNNNNNNNNNNNNNNNNNNNNNNNNNNNNNNNNNNNNNNNNNNNNNNNNNNNNNNNNNNNNNNNNNNNNNNNNNNNNNNNNNNNNNNNNNNNNNNNNNNNNNNNNNNNNNNNNNNNNNNNNNNNNNNNNNNNNNNNNNNNNNNNNNNNNNNNNNNNNNNNNNNNNNNNNNNNNNNNNNNNNNNNNNNNNNNNNNNNNNNNNNUCGUCAUUUUUUGAUAUCAGCUAUACUCAUAGGAUCAUUACCAGUAAUUAAAAUGACGUUAGCAUAUAUCAAAAGGGUAGUAAAAGUCUUGCCUUGCUUCCUAGUGAACAAAGAGUAGUCAGCUUUUGAUUGUACAUAUCCGACUGAACGUAUGGCCUAAGAGAAUUUAGCAAACCAUUGACGAGAUGCUUGUUUCAGCCCAUAUAAUAACUUAUGGAGGCGACAAACCAAGUGUUCCUCCCCAUGUCUUAUUCUAUGGGAUCUGUAAUAUUACUCAAAUUGUCCUCUUUACUCACCACCAUUAUCUACCCUAACACAUUUUAAUUUUCUUCAUGUCCCUCUCUCAACAUAAGCAUAAAAGAACUUAAAUGUAUUAAGCAAUUGAUCUUUAGAUUUUAAAGCAAAAACCCACAUUUUUCUAGAACAAUCAUCAAUAAAAGUCACAAAAUAAAGUGCACCUCCUAUUGAUUUACUUUGCAUCACGCAAACAUCAGUGUAAAUCAAAUCAAGCAUUUACGACUUUCUAGAUGGAGAAAAGCAUUUAAAAGCUACUAUGUAUGUCUUUCCAGCUAAGCAAUGAACACAAGUCUUAAGGGACGUAUAUGAGAAACUGGGUAGAAAUCCUUUUUUUUUUGCAAGAGUUUCUAAUUUUUUCUCACCAACGUGACCAAGUCUUUUAUGCCAUGUCUCAAUGUCAGAAUCUUUUGCAGCCAUAUUCACAUCUUCUUUCUUGAUUUUGUCUUCUAUCAUAUAGAGAGUGUUUACUUUCCCACUCUUAGCUAACACUAGGGAGCCUUUGGUGAGCUCCCAUUUUCCUUUACUAAAUUGGUUAAUAUAACCAUCAUCAUCAAGCUUACUUGUGGAGAUCAAAUUAAGGCGAAUAUUUAGUACGUGUCUGACAUAUUUAAGUAACAAAUUACAUCCAAUUUUGGUUUCCAAGCAAAUAUCUCCUAUGCCCAAAUCUUGGAUGCCUCCUCAUUUCUCAUCCAAACAUGGCUAUAAUCACCAUUAAUACAGGAUGUGAAGUAAUCAAGAUGUGCACCUGAUUCAAUCACCCAAUCACUGGUAUGUCAAGUGAGAUUUACAAAGCUCUCAUCAUAAACAAUACCCUCAUCACCAACAAAUAUGGCUACAAUGUUCUCUUUGUCAUUUUUUAGCAUCACAUUUGUCUUUCGCCUAUUCUCGUUUCCACAAUCUACAUCGCCAUUUUCUGAAAAUGAAAGCACUUCAUGUUUCUCCUCUGGGACUUAGAUCUUCCUCUAGAGUUAUUGUUGUAUAUUUUAAGCUCAAUUGCUAUUAGUGUCAAUGUGCAAGUGUACACAACAAAUAAUAAAGUGAUGAGUAUUCAAGAUUGUGUCCACAGGGACUGAUGCUACUAGAAAUGCUACAGUAAUCACAACAGUGCAAACUUUCUUCUAUCUUAACUUAAUAAAAUUAAUAAGAUUGACUAACUAAUGAGAAUAACAAUUCAAUAAAGUAAAAAUGCAAUUAUAAAUUAAAUUGUACGUUCAACACAAGAGAAUUCAAUAGGAGUGGAGUAGUUGAAUGAUUAAACUCUCUCGAUGGGGUGAUUGUCUUGUCAAAUUAACACCAGUUGCUACAGCAUUUGUUAUAGCACUAGGCAAAAUUACCUUGCAUCCUCAGCUGUUGCAUGUUGGACUUCUCAUACCCUUAUGCAACCUAACAAUGACCAGUUGUUAUGUCAACACAAGAUACGGCAUUACAAGCAUGUCCUCUCUCUACCCUACAAGGUGAAUCCCUAUAUAUAUUUCAUCACAAAUCUUAAAUAAAGUGUGGCCCUUUUGGGAUUCAAGUUAAACUCAAUUCAGGAAACUCAACUUAAGAUCAAGUAUUACUCUAACAAGUUCCACUAAGGCAGGCCAUUUUAUGGCUCUCUCUUAACUGGUAUCAUUAAAUAGGAGGUCAACCGAAAUAAUGAAUGUAAUAAGAUUUAUUAAAGCAAAGUGUUACAGCAGGCAUGCAGCAACUCAUAAGAACAGUCAAGAACUUAUCUAGAUUAUUUGUCACUCAACUGCAAUCAAAUUUAUUUCAUAAUUUGUAAAAGAUAAACAAACGACAAAGUUCCAACCAUCAAGUACAUAUUUCCAACCAAAGAAUAAAAAAGCAGAAAAAGAGUUGAAUGAGAAAAGUUGAAUUCUAAAUAUUCUGCAGAUUUGUAAUUGGUGCAGACUUGUGUCCUUCUCUUCAAUCUUCGUUUUUAUUUCUUUCUUUUUUUUCAAUCGUGAUUGACGGCUCACUUUUCCUAUGAUGUGUGCUACUUUUAUAGUCGAAAACUAGGGUAAACGGAGGCAUAGGUCGCGUGUCUUCCAGAUUAGAAAACUGCAAAUCGCAAUAUUCUGCAAAAUCUUCUUUGUCGUUGUUCCAGAAUUUGCUACAGCAAUGACAAUGGUUGCUACAGCAAUGAUUGCUAUAGCAAUGACUAUAGCAACUGCACAGUUCCAUAUUUGUUUCAAUUCUUCUAUAACCAAGUUCUUUUCCAUCUUUUGCAAGCCUAUCGCAUUAGCAUUCCUUCCUUGAAAUUUGUGCUUCCGAUCACGUACAAUUAUGCAUAUGAUUUAAGCACACAAUUUAUUCUAAAUCAAACAAAAUUUGUGAAGAAUAAAUUGAAAUGGUUAUUCAUGCAAAAUAAAACUAAAAUACAACAAAAACAUGUUAUUUACUCUCAAAGUAAUCUUGAUUUAAGUCCAAAAGUGUCAUGAUAACUCUCAUUUCAUAGAGUUAUCAGUUAUCAUUGUUCUGCCGACAAGAAUUUCUACUUUGGCUUCUCCCUGCCUUUUUUGCUUUUCCAAAACAAGUGCAUCUGACUCAGAGGGAAAUGCUUCAACACUCUUUCUUCUAAAUUCUUCAUUUCGUUGCCUAUCUGUAAUCAUAUCCAAUGUUAAUUUCCCAUUCGGCGCUGAAUUAUUCACUAACACCAUUAAUGUCUCCCAAUUAUUAGGCAUAGAACUAAGCAACAACAAUGCUUAUAACUCAUCAUCUAGAAUAAUCUUCAUAGUAGUUAGCUGAUCAACCAAGCCCCGAACUCAACCAAGCCUUGAAACUCACUAGUGUGUUCAGUUAUAUUGCGGCCCUCGUAUUUUAAGUUAACAAGUCUUUUCAUCAGAUUGAUUUUAUUCUGUGUUGUCGGCUGCUUAUAAAUUGUUUCCAAUUUUCUCUAAAUAAUAUCAGCCGUAGAUUCCUUCGCGACAUAGUGGUAUAAAAUCUGAUCAAUCCAUGAUCUAAUAGUACCCACAACCUUCUGGUUUAAUUGAACCCAUUUCUUAUCAUUUAAAUCAGUGAAUCUAGCUUAUUCGCCUUCAAUGGUUAAUGUAAGUCCUUUAUGUAGAACAAAUCUUCCAUCUUAGACUUCCAAAUAUCAUAAUUUCAUAACUUCAGCUUAAUCAUGCAUGCCGAGAACACUUCUAUCUUAACCACAAAAGGAAAAAAAAAAUACAACUUGAUGCUCUGAUACCAUUAUGCGGGAAGGGGACUCAUACAAGUAGCUGCAAAUAAAGUGAGGACAAAACUCUUUCCCUCUUUGUGUGAUUAAAAUAUGAUGUGUACCUUAAAUAAAUAAGAAGAAAAAUUAACUAACAAAUUCCAAAGCAAUAAAUCAAACACAAGAGACAUAGAUUUUUACAUGGAAAAUUUAAAAUAGGAAAAGCCAUGGGACCAUAGUAAAAUAUAACCUUCCACUAUAUUAAUGGGAUUAUAGCAAAAAUUCUUCUCUAAAUAAAACUAGAGGCUAACAACAUCAAAAAUCUCAAUAAUAUUAGCUUACAGUAACAACCUAAUAUAUGUCUCUCUAAUAAGUGGACAUCUCAAAUAAUUACCAACGAGAGGAUAAAAUACAAAUCAAGACAAGUAAGAUUGUAAAGGACGAUUCCAAGAACUUAACAUCAAAAUUUGUGAGAAAACAGAGUUAAUUUCGCCUUUCGAUCGUUCAAUCACAUAUCGAAACUCAAGCCUCCAAAUUUAAUAUUGCGUCACUAUUCACUCUUCUCUUUUUCUCUCUCUUCUUUUGGUGCAAUAGAAUUAUGUCAGCCGCUUGCUUUUUAUUGUUAGAUUUCAUGGCAAAUUCCAUCCAAGUCCAAAAGUUAAUAUUAAUUGCACAUCAAGCAAGCGUUCUUGGACUUUGGACUUUUAGGACCCUAAAUGAGAUGGACUCAACAAUUCGCAUUCAACGAAGUAUUAAUCAUACAUAUUCACCUUCACAACUUGUUUUUGGCCAACUGCCUGAUAUUUCUCAUUUGAAAAUUUUUUGAUGAGUUGUUUAUGUCUCAUUUGAUCCCUCAUAAAGAAAUCAAAUAGGUUUUCAACGAAGACUUGGAAUUUAUGUUGGUUUUGAUUCUCUAUCAAUAAUUAGGUAUCUUGAACCUUUAACUGAAGAUCUUUUUACCGCACGAUUUGCAGAUUGCCAUUUUGAUAAACAAGUUUUCCCAUUAUUAGAGGGAGAAACUAUAAAAAUAAAUGAACGACUUGAAAUCACACAGCAUGCAUCAUCAUCAUUAUCUCAUCGUGAUCCUCGUAUAGGUCAAAGUGAACUUGAACUUCAAAGGAUCAUUCAUUUGUAAAAUAUUGCAAAUCAAAUUUGAUGAGCAUAUAAUACAUACAUAUUUUACCCUUAAUUAUAUAAUUUCUAGUUAUUUUUAUUUUUUAUUUUUAAUUAUUUGAAUUAUUUUAUUGAAUAAGGGAUUAAUUGGAGAUUAUGGAUAAAAAAGGACAUAAAGGAGCUCAAUUUGGGAGGUAUUAAUUGAUUGAUUUUAGGAGCAAUCAUGCAAAUAUGCAUGUGAAUUCAAGACAAGUUCAUUCAUCCAUGCACAUGAAGACAAGAAGAUUAUGGCCAUCACGUGAGAAGCAAUUGGCGUUAAAAAAAGAGUGAAAAUUCCAAGUGGAGUGCACGUGCAAGACAAAGCAAAUAAAAGGGCCAAGCCUUUUGGCUUUAGAAUUUAAGAGGUGGGGCCCAUUUUAAAGACUAAAUAUAAAAGCAAGCUUUUGGCUUUUAGAGAGGGGGGCAGCCGCUAAUUUUUGGGCGCGGCUGUGCCCGGGGCUUAUUUUUGGCACACGGAGGGCCUUCACUUUUUCAUCUAACUUUAAUGAUGAUCUUAUACAAAUAUGUUUAACUCACUUUGAUUUAGAUUUUGAUAUUGACAGAUCAAUUGAUGAGGUAAGCUGAUUAUUAAUUUAAUCAAAAGUUAAGUUUGAAACUCAUGCUCAUGGAAUUAACCUCUUUUGGUUAACCCCCCCAAGGCCUUUUUUCGCUAGGGGCUUUUGGCGCCCCGACCUUCGGGCGCUUAUUUUUGGGAGCGGCUGUGUCCAUGACUCCCCGGGGGCACACUGAGGCUGCUCGCAAAGUCUCGCCCCAUUCCGAGUCCGACGGAUGAAUUUUGCCUGCGCCCCCCAGCAAGGUUAUAGCCCACCCGUUUUUUGUCCAUUUUCCACUGGGGGCGUUUUUUUUUUCCUUUUCAAUUACAUUUUCUCUUGACCACUCCCAAUUUCUCAAUUACCAAAGCAUAAUGCUCAUCAGUAACCUGAUCACCCAGUUCAUCAGAAAGUCUCGCUCCAUUCCGAGUCCGGCGGACGAACUUCGCCAGCCCCCCCCACCAAGCCUAUAGCCCACCCGUUUUUUUGGCCUUUUUCCGCUGGGGCUUUUGGCGCCCCGACCUUCGGGCGCUUAUUUUUGGGCGCGGCUGUGCCCGUGGCUUAUUUUUGGCACACGGAGGCCCCUCGCAAAGUCGCACCCCAUUCCGCGCCCCAUUCCGAGUCCGGCGGACGAACUUCGCCAGCACCCCCCACCAAGGCUAUAGCCCACCCGUUUUUUUGGCCUUUUUCUGCAGGGGGUUUUGGCACCCCAACCUUCGGGCGCUUAUUUUUGGGCGCGGCUGUGCCCGCAGGUUAUUUUUGGCACACGGAGGCCCCUCGCAAAGUCUCGCCCCAUUCUGAGUACGCAGACGUGAUGCGGCAGGGAAGAGCAGCAACAGUUCGGCUUCUCCAUGGUUGUUUUUAUUUGCUUUAUUGCUCUCAAUUCAAGUAUGUCUAGCUAAUUUUCUUAUACUGAGGUUAAUGAUGAAACCAUAUUCAAUGAAAUAAUUAUCUUUUUAUUUAUUUAAUUCCCUAUAUAUGUUCUUUGAUGAUUAUGGUUUUUAUUUCACAUGAUUAAUUGGAUAUUAUUAAAAUCUUUUCAUCAAUUCUGUCAUGCAUUAUCGAUUGUUAGGAUUAAUAUUCGAUUAAAUCUAUGCUUGGAUCUAUAAAGUUUAUACAUGAUUAUCUUUGAUUCCAUGUCUUUCAUUAAAUUGUUUACACAUAGUACUUAGGAAAACUUUGAUUCUUUGUUAUUCAAUAUGUUCACAUGGGAUACUUAGAUAUCAUACUAUUAAGCAAAAAAAGAACUUACAAAAUGUUAAUUUUAUUUGGGCUUAAUUGUUAUAUCUACGAGAUGGCAUAGAUUGAUUUCGAGUUGUCACUCUAAAAUUGGGGAUUAAUUAAUAAUUAGAUAAUAACUAGUUGACUAUUGGUGGAUUCUGAAACCUUGGUAAUUUUUUGUCUUAUUAAAAUCUCAUUUACUUUAAUUGUUUUCUUAGUUUAAUUAGUUUAAUUUUCUUUAAAACUCAAUAUGCUCAACUAGGUUAGAAUUAAUAUUAAUUUUAUAUUUAAAUUAGACUUUUCAAUUUAUAACAAUUCAUGUGGGAUUGACCUCGUUACCACUAUUCUAUUUCUAGAUUCAUACGCUUGCGAGUAUAUUAAAAUUUUCACAACAAAAUUCCCAUGGAUUUAGUGAUUUAAGAAAAAUAAUAAAAUCACAUAUUCCAGCUGAAAAUAAAGUACGUCUGAAAUGUGGAAGGCCAAUUGGCUCAAAAGACAAAAUUCCUUAGAAGAAGAAAACAUAAUAAAAUUUACAAAUUGAAAUUAGCACUCCUGAAGAGUCAUUGUCUAUUAAUCAAAUAAUAGAGAUUGAUCAAUCAAAUAAUAUUUGCCCCAUUGACUUAUAAGAAGAAAAUUUGCCAACAACUGAAGAAGUAUCAAUUUCUCUUGAAGAGAAACAAAAUGAUGAAAUUACCAUUGGUUUUGUUGGUAUAGAAAAAUCUAGGAUCAAAAUGAAAUAAUUAUUAAUGAUACUUUUUCAUUCACUGUUGCUCUUAAUAUCAACACCGAUGAUAAGGAUCCUGAUCCAAAAACUAUGGAAGAAUGUCAAUAUAGAAGUGAUUGGCCCAAGUGGAAAAAUGUUAUUCAUGCAGAGCUAAAUUCACCUGUGAAAGGUAAAGUUUUUGGACCAAUAGUCCUAACAACUAAAGAUGUCAAACCUAUUGGUUGUAAGUGGAUAUUCAUUAAAAAAUGAAAUGAGAAAAAUGAAACUGUAAGAUAUAAAGUAAGGUUAGUAGCACAAGUGUAUUGAAAGACUUGGCAUUGAUUAUGAGGAGACAUAUUCUUCCCUUAUGUAUGCAAUUACAUUUCAAUUUCUGGUUAGUCUCGUUGCCUUUAAAGGGCUUGAUAUGUGUCUUGUAGAUGUUGUGGCUGCCUAUCCAUAUGGUUCGAUUGAUACAAAUAUUUAUAUAAAAAUUCCCGAAUGAUUCAAAAUGCUAGAAGCAAAUCAAUUUAAACCUCGUAACUUAUAUUCUUUGAAACUACAACGAUCCUUAUAUAGAUCAAAAUAGUCUGGGAGUAUGUGGUAUAAUCGCCUAACAAAUUAUUUAUUGAAAGAAUGAUAUGUAGUAACCCAAUCUAUCCUUGUGCUUUUAUUAAAAAAUCUCAAAUGGGAUUUGCAAUAAUUGCAGUAUAUAUUGAAGAUUUAAAUCUCAUUAGAACUCCUAAAGAGCUUUUAAAAACAACUUCUUAUUUGGAAAAUGAGUUUGAAAUAAAAGAUCUUGGAAAAAAAAAUUACCUUGACUUACAGAUCGAGUAUUUACCAAGUGGAAUACUUUUACAUCAGUCAAUAUACACUAAAAAAGUUUCAAAGUGUUUUUAUAUGGAUAAAACCCAUCCAUUAAAUACCCCAAUGGUGGUACGAUCACUUCAUAUGGAAAAAGAUUCAUUUCGUCCUAAAGAAGAUGGUGAAGCAAUUCUUGGUCCUGAAGUACCAUAUUUAAGUGCAAUUGGUGCACUCAUAUAUCUUGAAAUUGUACUCGACCUGAUAUUGCAUUUUUAGUAAUUUAUUAGCAAAAGAUAUUCCUACACCAACUCGUAGGCAUUGGAAUGGUGUAAACCAUGUAUUUCACUAUCUCCAUGGAACAAUUGACAUGGGUUUUUUUUAACCAAAUGGACUAAAAUCACCACUAAUUGGAUAUGUAGAUGUUGGAUAUCUCUAAUCCAUAUAAAGUCUUAUCUGAAAAAGGUUAUUUAUUUACCUUUGGUAAUAGUGUUGUAUCAUGGCAAUCAAUGAAACAAACAAUGGUUGCAACAAUGGUUGCAACAUCUUCAAAUCAUUCAAAAUUACUUGUUAUUCGUAGAGCAAGUUAUAAGUGCAUUUGGUUAAGAUCAAUGAUACAACAUAUUCGACAAACAUGUGGAUUGUCAUCAAUUAAAAAUAACCCCAUAAUAUUAUAUGAGGACAAUGCAGCAUGCAUUGCCCAAAUUAAAGGUGGUUAUAUAAAAGGUUAUUGGACCAAGCAUAUUUUAUCAAAACUCUUUUAUACACUUGAGCUUCAAAAGAAUAGUGAUAUAGAUAUUCAACAAAUAAGCUCAAGUGAUAAUCUGACAGAUUUAUUUACAAAAUCCCUACCAAACUACGACAUUCAAAAAAUUGAUGCACAAAAUUGGGAUGUGUCAACUCAAAGCUUUUUCUCUAAAUCUUGAAGAAUUUAUGUCAAGAUGAGGGGAAGUAUACUUGUUGGGGAAAAUAAUUUAUUUUGGAGGGAAUUUUAUAUGUUCUUUUUUCUCACUAGGUUUUAUCCCAUAGGGUUUUUUCUAGUAAGGUUUUAAUGAGACAUAUUCUUUUGUAAUUAAUAUCCAAGGGAGAGUGUCAUGAAUUUAUUAAAAUAAAUGUGGAUAUUCAUAACAUACAUCUCUUAGUCUCUCCACUAUCUCCCACUAGGAACCCAUGUCUCUCUAUAAUUGUCACUAUCUCAUAAUUAAUUAUGAUCUAUAAUAUUUCUAUUAAUUUCAUGGAGUGGUUAUGUAACUAUAAAAAGAAGAGCUCAUCUCUUUGUUUUGGACACACACUGGAAUGAAUAAAAUCAAUGUAUAAUAUAUUGCUCUCUCAUUUUACUCUCUAUCUUGUGUUGCUCCUUUAUUUUGUAUUGCUGGCUAAUAGCUUUUCUAAUAUAUGUUAACUAACUUAGAUGAAUAAAAUAAAACCAACUUGUUCAGUACCUAAUCAUAGCACCCACUUGGCCUAUCUCUCAAAUUCAAAAGUUAAUAAAUCACAGUUGUCAAUUGCCCUAGCCAACGCAAAAUUGACUUACAAUAAAUAAUAAUAAUAACAAUAAAUACCCAAGUGCCAUUUUCUUUAGUAACACAAAUUCACAUAAAUUUAUGGAUGGAUACCCACCAGCCAAUUGAAGAAAAGAAGAAUAAUAAUAAUAAUAUAUGGAGCAAUUGCAAGUUCAACAAACCAAACAAACCCCAAUGAAAUAAAUCUCUUAAAUUGCUCAAUUUCUUUCCACUCCCAAAUUUUCUAAGCAACCAAGGAAAUACAGAGAUAUAACGGAGACUAGGGAUGGCAAUGGGCACCGCCCGCAGCGGGUUUGCCAUUACCAAACCCAAACCCGCACAAAAUUUAAAUUACCAAACCCACCCGCAACCCGCAGCGGGUUUUAAUUUUUUUAUAAAAACCCACCCGCAGCGGGUUUUAACAAUUACCAAACCCGCAAUGGUAUCCGGCGGAUUUUUUGCGGGUUUCCGUAUUUAAAAUUACAAAUGUUUAAUAUAUAAAUUUAUAAUAAUAACCUCAAAUUUCAUAUAACAUACUCAAUUUUAUAUUUAAAUAAUGUAAAUGAAAAAUUAAAAUUUCCACAUCAAUUCAACACAAAUUCUCAAAUUUAAGUAUAAAUUACACAAAUCCAUUUAAAAAACACAAACUAGUAUCUAAAAAUAAUAAUUACAUUUCAUAUUAUCAUUUAAAACAAGCUCCAAGAGAAGAUAUUCAUUUCAUUCACCACCAUAAGCAUCCAUCCAACACAAUGCCUAUAAUAAUAAUUAAGAUUAAUAUUUUCAAAUACUAAUUCGAAAGAAAAUGCCUUUAGUUUUCUUUAGAUUAUGACUUUAGAAUAAGAUAUAGGCCACAUACACACAUACACAACUUUGAGCCUUUGGCUAUUUGGUAAUUUAAUUAAUGACAUUAUUUUCUUUAUACAUUUUUAGAUUUAAAUUAAAUUAAAAAUAUUUGAAAAAAAUAUUGCGGGUUUGGUGGAUAUCCAUGCGGGUAUCCAUCGGAUAUAAGGUUAAUACCAAACCCACCCGCAUCCAUGUGCGGGUUUUAAUUUAUAAUACUAAACUCGCCCGCAACGGGUAAAAUUACCCGCAACGGGCGGGUUUUGGCGGGUGGGUUUGGGCGGGUUUGCGGGUACAAUUGCCAUCCCUAACGGAGACCCAAUAAUAAAAUUGUUUGGGGCAAGAAUUUAUCCGGAUCAUCUGUCACAAAGAUAUGCUCUUUCUUGAUUGAAGUAAAUUUGGGUUUGAUUGGAAAUUCGGGUUUAGUGGUCGACAAUCUGCUUGAUUCUAUUAUGUGAUUUGGAGAGUAAGGUCCAAGAGCAUAUUCAAGCAUUGAUAUGGCUGAAAUAAGCUCUUAUUGCAACUUUGAUUAUGCAUGAUAUUUUGUUGAGUAGUAGAUUUGAACCCAAACAAUAAUAGCACCUGCUGUGGAUAAUGAUGUGGGGGCGGAGUACACUAGUGAAUAAUGGAGAAUCGGUAGCUUAAUAUUAAUUUUCUAGGAUUGUUAUAGCCUAACAAUUGCAAUCACAAAAAACGUGUGAAAACAGAACAUUUAUGGAAAAUGAAUAUUGAAGUGUGUUUGGAAAUUGGAAAAUACUCAUAACUUUCUUUUAAAUUCUCUCUUGGAUUUCUUAACUAAAAUGAUGGAUGCUUGAAUAAAUGGUGAAGCUUGCUAUUUAUAGGCUUCAUUUCUUCAUUUUUAUUAAUUUUAAUGCAUGCUUAACAUUCAUUAUAAUGCAUGCUUUUAUAUUAAAUACCAAUUCAUGCUUAUCAUUAAUUCUAAUGCAUGCAUUAACAUUAAAUAUCAAUGCAUGCUUAUCAUUGAUUCUAAUGCAUGCUUAUCAUUAAUUCUAAUGUAUGCUUUUGCAUUGAAUAUCAACGCAUGUUUAUCAUUAAUUCUAAUGUAUGCUUUUGCAUUAAAUAUCAAUGCUUGCUUAUCAUUAAAGUCUAAUGCAUGCUUUUCCAUUAAAUAUCGAUGCAUGCUUUAGAUUAAAUAUUAAUGCAUGAUUUACGAUUUAGUAUUUUAAACUAAAUUAUUUAUUAUUAUUAAGAUGUAAUGAUUGAUUCUCUAUUAGCUCAUUUCAUAAGGCAUUCUUUUAUAGGAUAAGAUCCCCCAAGUGGGCUUAGCCAAGGAUUCAAUGCAAAUUGAGCAUCAUUUUGGUGUAUCCACACCUUCCAAAGCAUAACUCACAGUGGUUGCCCUAGUAUAGUGGCUUGGGUCCACCAUGAAAUACGUACCGUAUGGGCUGGACUAGGUCAUUAGAUAGUUACAAGUUACUAAACUGACCUUAAUUUAUCAUUGUCAUCAUAAUAAUAAUAAUUGUUAAUAAUCAUAAUAAUAGUUAUUGUUAAUAAUUAUUAUUAUUGUUUUUGUUGUUGUUAUGAUUAUUAUUAUUAUAAAAUUAAUAAUAGUAAUUAUUAUUAUUAUUAUUACUAUUUUAUUAUUAUCAUCAUCACCAACAAUAAAAUUUUCAUAAUAAUAAUAAUAAUAUAAGGAAGAAUAAAAUGGAAAUUUCAACAUUUAAAUGAGGAUAAUAUGGUCACUUUAGGGAAUAAGAAUCUUAUUCCCACAUCUUCUCAUGGGAAUCGAAACUCUAGUAAUCAUUCUCAAUUUUAGGUGGAGCCCACCAUUUUGAUUCACACUCUACCUCUUAUUUAAGCAAGUAAACACAUUAUUCAUUUUCAUUAUUUGAUUCCAUUCACAUUCCCAAUAAGUAAACACAUCAAAGAAGAUAGAUUUGUUAUACUAAUGUUAUGGCAUCUCAUAAUUACUAAGUAUUAGGAGAUUUCUCGAACUUGGAGGAAGAUUAAUAUUGAGGAGGCAAAUAAGAUUAAAGUAACAAUCAUUAAUUAAAUUGAGAUUUUUUCUUUGUAUUUAUCUACAACCUAAUUAUUAUAGGUUAUCUUUUAAUUAAUUAUUUAUUUAUCAUUAUACUAAAUGAAUAGUUGAAAUUAAAACACUUAAAUCUAAGGGUCCACAACAAUCCAUUAUCAAUGCCCUCAAAACACAUACAGCAUCAUGGAGAAAUCCAAAAGACAAUCUUUUCUUUUUUAUUUGUUAGUUACUAUAGAUGCCUUUAAAUCUGCACCUCCUCCUGAGUCUCGUUUUAACAUCAAAGUUUGUACUAACUUAUUUUUUUAUUAUAGUGCAAGCCACUCAAGUGGAUUUACAAAUAUGGGUUAAAAUUUAUUAUAGUGCAUACCAUGUCAAUACAUGUGCACUAACCACGACAUUAGUGAGCACAUGAAAUGGCCUAAAGAUUGUCAUUCACUAAAAAAUGACAUAUGCACAUUUGCAAAAGAAACACAAUUGUAUGUUUCGAAGUGGCUAGUUGAUAAGAUUCCUAUUCCAUUAAAAUUAACCAUCCCAUGAACUUGUUUGUUUUCCUUUUAUGAUACAAUAAAUGAUGCUUAAUUUUCAUUUCUUUAUAAUGAUUCCGAUCGGGAUGAAGGAGCGUAUACGAGAGUUUAUAAAGGUAAAAGUCAUUGAGCUAUAUCAUUUAAGCUACUUAUCAAUUAUUUCAUUUGACAAAGCUAAUUUAUUUUACAAAUGCUAACUAGUAUAUACCGUCACUUUUUCAUGAGUGCUAGAAUCAUUUAAUAGUUCAUCCUAUAGGAAGAAGCAGGUGUUCUAAUUACUUAAAAUUGCAUUUAUGAUCUUCAAGAACAUGCUGACCAGAAAACACAUGAUUCCAUUUAGACAUAAUCACAAAAGAUUAUGUAAACACACAAUUGACUACUACCAUAUUAAGUGACAUGAUUGGGGAAUGUUUAUCGGAAGCAUUUAAAUUGAAGAUCUUUUACUUAGAGUUAGAAUGAAGUUUUAAGUUAGUGCAUCAAGCAUGACAGGCAAGCGCAGCAGAAAUGAUAAGAUCACUUGGUGACUUAGUUAGCACUCAAGAAUACUCAAGUAAUAUAAACUCUAGUACUAUAAGUAAGCUCAAGAAAUGGAAAUUGUUUGCAUUCACAAAAUAUUCCUUCAUCUCUCAUUGUCUUAUUCUUUUCUUGGUGUCAACGCAGCCAUUAGCAUUCUAAUAGAUGAAAUUUGCUGAGGGUGAUCCUGGGAUUUAAGAGACAAAUGCAAAAAACACAAACAUUGAACCAGUUUUAAGUAAAACACUUAUAGCAUAAAAUGCUUAGUCAGCAAAUACUGUAGCACAAAUAGGAGCUAUAGAAUUUACAAUAACACACCUUUGAAUCAUCA
RNAcentral lists this long non-coding RNA (57513 nucleotides) under Citrus x clementina. RNAcentral describes it as "Citrus clementina (C. clementina) long non-coding RNA (CCLE_LNC000948)". The record is from RNAcentral. Lineage: Eukaryota; Viridiplantae; Streptophyta; Magnoliopsida; Sapindales; Rutaceae.